GGCUCCGUCUUGCAGCUACAUCCGGUUAAAUAUGUCAUGUGACUUGAACGCACACAUAGACACACACACACGCACACACACGCACACACACACACACACACACACACACACACACACACACACACUCAGAGUCUGGUUUUUAGCACCUGCAAAAACAUGCUAUUUACAUAUUUGACAAGAAUGCAGAGGCUCCUUUUGCCCCUGAAAAAAAUCAAAUUUCAAACACAACUUGACUGGUCAUUUCUCCAAAAGACAACCAUGAAGCUCCAUCCAAACCUGAAGCAGGCAGUUGGUGCAUGUGUACAGUAACCUGAGGGGAGUGAGGUGAGUGCUUCUGAGGAGAACAUGAGCAGUGAAGAUUCACCUUGGAGCUAGAACAGAGACAUGCACAUGAUUAUACAGGGGCAGGGGCUCAAGUUUUUUCCAGUCGUUUAUACAAUAUGGAAAUUAAUGUGAAAUUAAAACACAAAGUAUUAAUAGAAAGGUAAUGACUGUCCUGUGUAGGUGACAGUGAUAUCCAAUAGGCUAGGCACUCACGAGGCUGGCUGUGGCAAGUGUAAGUGAAAGCAACACGCACUGGCAGGAAGAACAGCAAACGCCGAUGAAGGAAAAGGGUCUUUGCAGUGAUGGGCACAAAUGGGACGGGGAGGCAGCAUGUUGGGGGGGGGGGGGAGACGCGACACGGCUCGGGCCCGCCAGUGCCCCAACGGGGUCCUAGUUAGGGCCCGAGCCAGCUGCAGAGCAGCCGGGCGUAGAGCCCUAUUAUUCCUGAUGAGUUUUUCUUUCUUCUUUCUUUCUUUCUUUCUUUCUUUAGGGCCCGAGCGUAGCUGCUAAGCAGCUGCGAGAGCCCUCUUGUUCCUGCAUGUUUCCUUCUUUCGUUAUUAUUUUUCCUCCGCUUUAAACUGGAAAAUGGCCCACUUCCCACUGGCGAAAACUCAGGAAAUUUGGCAGGACGACCGGGCCUGGUGAAAAAUUCGAUAUUCUGAAGUCGCCCAAACAAGAAAAUGCAAAAUGGCUCCAUAGCGCCCCCUAAGGUGAAAAUUCACAUGACAGCUGUACGCUUUGUCAUAUUGACACAACAAUUGACACACACAUGUAUCUCAAUAAGAUCUACAAAAAAGUCAGUGCGGGCGUAUCUGUCAAAUGUACGGUUAAUGGGUUUUUUUGCAUUUUUUGCAGAUCUGCACACAUUGGAAUUUCGCUAACUCCUCCGAAGGCUUUCGUUCGACCGGCACCACAUUUGCGCAGGCCAAUCUACCCCCCAUGGCCAUUAAAAGUUGUACAAAUCAUGACGCUGCACCCCACGGUUUACGUUCUAGGGGGCGCCAAAGAUAACCCAAAAUCCACAUUCUUAAAAGUCUUAUAACUUUUUAUUUUUGUCCUCACUGCCCUCCAAGUUUUCUAGGAUGAUGCAAUGUCCAGCCAUCAACACAUUUGUGAAGGAAUUUUUACUCCCCAAAAGAGCGCCCCCCCAUGGCAGGAGAAAAAAGUCAAUUUUUUCUUGUCCCCUUACAUGAAAAUACACAUUGUUGAGUGUCACGCCUGAACGCUUUGUCAUAUUGACACAAAAAUUGACAAUCAUGUGUAUCUCAAUUAGAUCUACGAAAAAGUCAAAAAGCGCGUGUCUGUAUAAUGUACGGUUAAAGGGCUAUUUCGCAUUUUUUGCCGAUUCGCACACAUUGGAAUGUGGCUAUCUCCUCCUAAGGCUUUCGUCCCACCGAUACCAAAUUUGCUCAGGGCAAUCUACACCCCAUGCCCAUUCAAAGUUGUAAAAAUCAUGACGCUGCACCCCACGGUUUACGUUCUAGGGGGCGCCAAAGAUGACCCAAAAAUCCACAUUCUUAAAAGUCAUUUUGGCCACUGCAGGAGUACAGAGUACUGCAGUUCUAGGGGGCGCCAAAGAUGACCCAAAAAUCCACAUUCUUAAAAGUCUUUUUGGCCACUGCAGGAGUACAGAGUACUGCAGGAACACACACACACACACACACACACACACACACACACACACACACACACACACACACACACACACACACACUCAGAGUCUGUUUUUUAGCACCUGCAAAAACAUGCUGUUUACAUAUUUGACAAGAAUGCAGAGGCUUCCUUUUGCCCCUGAAAAAAAUCAGAUUUCAAACACAACUUGACUGUUCAUUUCUCCAAAAGACAACCAUGAAGCUCCAUCCAAACCUGAAGCAGAUAGUUGGUGCAUGUGUACAGUAACCUGAGGGGAGUGAGGUGACUAUUUCUGAGGAGAACAUGAGCAGUGAAGAUUCACCUUGGAGCUAGAACAGGGACGUGCACAUGAUUAUACAGGGGCAGGGGCUCAAGUUUUUUCCAGUCAUUUAUACAAUAUGGAAAUUAAUGUGAAAUUAAACCACAAAUAUGUGUGAUGAACUGUUUUUAAAACUUAAACUUCAAAUAAAAAUUGUAAACUUCAAAACAUAUGCAAAUUUUUAACAAAGAACAUAGUAAUUUACCUCUAUUUACAUCAAAAUGCAGGCAAUGGCCCAGGCGUUCUUUGUAAAAUUAUUUACAAAACACUGUAUAGUCUCACAAAUGUCACUUUUUAUGUAUGCCACUACAAAAAAACAUGAUGUAAAUGAUGCAUGAUGUAAAACAUGAUGUAAAAAACUUGUGUAGAUCCUCCUCUAUGUCAGUCCAUGUGUAAUUUUUCCAUAAUUCUUUGUUUUUUGCAGCAUUUUUGUUAGUGUAACUGCAGAUUGUGCUGACAGUCUAUGGCAAAAAAAACAAAAACUGAAAAUGCCUCAGCAUGAACCCCUGGUGGUCUCUGAGGGUGAAACCUGCUAACUGCUGCAGCUCUGUCAGCUUCAGUCUCCCAUGCAGAGCUCGGAGCGCAUGUGUGGCUCUGCACCCUUAGCAGCGUUGCUAACUCCUCAGUAAGGAAAGCCUGCUUCAUGUCAGAGUCUCUAAACUCCAGAAGAAGUCGAUAAAAGUCCCUUUCUUUCUAAAAAAAAGUCGUUAGGGGGUCUGAAAAGUAAUUGAAUCUAACAACAAAGUCGCUAGGUUUGCAACUACGUGUCCCAGACUGCAUCCCUGCUGAGAGUCCCUCCCUCCCUUCUCAUGUUGCAGGAAGAACGUAAGCGCCCGCCCCUUGUCAAUCAGUCACCAUAUAAUUUUGGAUUGGUUGUUGUGGUGAAGUUUUCCACCAAUAGGAGAGAUGUUGUGGUGUGUUUUUUUUUUCUUUUGGCAAGCCUUUUCCGCCUGUAAGACCUGUCACUAAUGUGUGCAUGCUAUGUUUUCCUGUCUCAUACAGCGCGAUCGAGCGCCGAACGUGAUCAAAACAAGCAGAAAGGUUUAGGUUCUAGGGGGCGCCAAAGAUAACCCUAAAAUCCACAUAUUUAAAAGUCUUAUAACUUUUUAUUUUUGCCCUCACUGGCCUCCAAGUUUUCUAGGAUGAUGCGAUGUCCAGCCAUCAACACAUUUGUGAAGGAAUUUUUACUCCCCAAAAGAGCGCCCCCCCAUGGCAGGAGAAAAAAGUCAAUUUUUUCUUGUCCCAUAAGGUGAAAAUACACAUUGUUUAGUGUCACGCCUGUACGCUUUGGCAAAAUGACACAAAAAUUGACACACACAUGUAUCUCAAUAAGAUCUACGAAAAAGUCAAUGCGCGCGUAUCUGUCAAAUGUACGGUUAAAGGGUUAUUGCGCAUUUUUUGCCGAUCCGCACACAUUGGAAUUUCGCUAACUCCUCCGAAGGCUUUCGUUCCACCGGCACCACAUUUGCUCAGGCCAAUCUACACCCCAUGGCCAUUAAAAGUUAUUCAAAUCAUGACGCUGCACCCCACGGUUUAGGUUCUAGGGGGCGCCAAAGAUAACCCUAAAAUCCACAUAUUUAAAAGUCUUAUAACUUUUUAUUUUUGUCCUCUCUGGCCUCCAAGUUUUCUAGGAUGAUGCAAUGUCCAGCCAUCAACACAUUUGUGAAGGAAUUUUUACUCCCCAAAAGAGCGCCCCCCCAUGGCAGGAGAAAAAAGUCCAUUUUUUCUUGUCCCAUAAGGUGAAAAUACACAUUGUUGACUGUCAUACCUGUAUGCUUUGUCAUAUUGACACAAAAUUUGACACACACAUGUAUCUCAAUAAGAUCUACGAAAAAGUCAAUGCGCGCGUAUCUGUAAAAUGUACGGUUAAAGGGCUAUUUUGCAUUUUUUGCCGAUUAGCACACAUUGGAAUGUGGCUAACUCCUCCUAAGGCUUUCGUCCCACUGACACCAAAUUUGCUCAGGCCAAUCUACACCCCAUGGCCAUUCAAAGUUGUAAAAAUCAUGACGCUGCACCCCACGGUUUACGUUCUAGGGGGCGCCAAAGAUGACCCAAAUAUCCACAUUCUUAAAAGAAUCCCCCCCCCCCAUCCCCCAUCCCCCAUGGCAGGAGAAACAGUCAAGUUUUUCCUGCCCAUCACUCAAUGGCUCAAUCGCAUCGCUCUCCCGGCAACACCGUAACGAGGAGCAACUUGCCGUUUGGAUAUAUCCUAGCUGUGUUUGUGCCCUCACUCAUGGUCCAGACUUUUUUCAAAUAGGACAUGUAGUUUGUCUGCAGCGAGUGUUUUGGUAGAAACUGCGCCUCCUAUUCAUUAUAAUGGGAAAUGACCACAGACAAGUGCGCACACCAUCUUUGGACCUUGAGUGUGACGCGAUCGGGAGGGGGAGGUGGUCGCACUGGGGGCGGCGCAACGAGGCUCGGGCCCGCCAGUGCCCCAACGGGGCCCUAGUUUCUUCUUCUUCUUAUUAGGGCCCGAGCCAGCUGCAGAGCAGCCGGGCGUAGGCCCUAUUAUUCCCCAAGUGGUUUUUCUUUGUUUCUUUCUUUCUUUCUUUCUUUAGGGCCCGAGCGUAGCUGCUAAGCAGCUGCGAGAGCCCUCUUGUUCCUGUAGUUUCCUUCUUUUGUUAUUAUUAGGGCCCGAGCGUAGCUGCUAAGCAGCUGCGAGAGCCCUAUUAUUCCCCAAGUGGUUUUUCUUUGUUUCUUUUUUCUUUUUCCUCCCCUUUGAACUGGAAAAUGGCCCACUUCCCACUGGCGAAAACUCAUGAAAUUUGGCAGGACGACCGGGCCUGGUGAAAAAUUUGAUAUUCCGAAGUCGCCCAAACAAUAAAAUGCAAAAUGGCUCCAUAGCGCCCCCUAAGGUGAAAAUUCACAUGACGGCUGUACGCUUUGUCAUAUUGACACAAAAAUUGACACACACAUGUAUCUCAAUAAGAUCUACAAAAAAGUCAGUGCGGGCGUAUCUGUCAAAUGUACGGUUAAUGGGUUAUUUUGCAUUUUUUGCAGAUCUGCACACAUUGGAAUUUCGCUAACUCCUCCGAAGGCUUUCGUUCCACCGGCACCACAUUUGCUCAGGCCAAUCUACACCCCAUGGCCAUUAAAAGUUAUUCAAAUCAUGACGCUGCACCCCACGGUUUAGGUUCUAGGGGGCGCCAAAAAUAACCCUAAAAUCCACAUAUUUAAAAGUCUUAUAACUUUUUAUUUUUGUCCUCACUGGCCUCCAAGUUUUCUAGGAUGAUGCAAUGUCCAGCCAUCAACACAUCUGUGAAGGAAUUUUUACUCCCCAAAAGAGCGCCCCCCCAUGGCAGGAGAAAAAAGUCCAUUUUUUCUUGACCCCUAAGGUGAAAAUACACAUUGUUGAGUGUCACACCUUUACGCUUUGGCAAAAUGACACAAAAAUUGACACACACAUGUAUCUCAAUAAGAUCUACAAAAAAGUCUAUGAGCGCGUAUCUGUCAAAUGUACGGUUAAAGGGUUAUUCCGCAUUUUUUGCCGAUCCGCACACAUUGGAAUGUGGCUAACUCCUCCUAAGGCUUUCGUUCCACCGGCAACACAUUUGCUCAGGCCAAUCUACACCCCAUGGCCAUUAAAAGUUAUUCAAAUCAUGACGCUGCACCCCACGGUUUAGGUUCUAGGGGGCGCCAAAGAUAACCCUAAAAUCCACAUAUUUAAAAGUCUUAUAACUUUUUAUUUUUGUCCUCACUGGCCUCCAAGUUUUCUAGGAUGAUGCAAUGUCCAGCCAUCAACACAUUUGUGAAGGAAUUUUUACUCCCCAAAAGAGCGCCCCCCAUGGCAGGAGAAAAAAGUCCAUUUUUUCUUGUCCCCUAAGGUGAAAAUACAUAUUGUUGAGAUUCACGCCUAUACGCUUUGUCAUAUUGACACAAAAUUUGACAAUCACGUGCCUUGCCUGGUAUCAUUUUUUUCAGCACAACCUCACCUGUGCGAAUAUACAGUUAUUUUAUCAUGUUGACAUACUGAAUUUACACAAUGGACCCAAAUUCACACACAAAACAUAAAAUCCGAGUGGAAAAAAGUAACAUUUUUACUGUGAAAACCACAAAUAUGUGUGAUGAACUGUUUUUAAAACUUAAACUUCAAAUAAAAAUUGUAAACUUCAAAACAUAUGCAAAUUUUUAACAAAGAACAUAGUGAUUUACCUCUAUUUACAUCAAAAUGCAGGCAAUGGCCCAGGCGUUCUUUGUAAAAUUAUUUACAAAACACUGUAUAGUCUCACAAAUGUCACUUUUUAUUUAUGCCACUACAAAAAAACAUGAUGUAAAUGAUGCAUGAUGUAAAACAUGAUGUAAAAAACUUGUGUAGAUCCUCCUCUAUGUCAGUCCAUGUGUAAUUUUUCCAUAAUUCUUUGUUUUUUGCAGCAUUUUUGUUAGUGUAACUGCAGAUUGUGCUGACAGUGUCUAUGGCACAAAAAAAAAAAAAAAUUAAAAUGCCUCAACAUGAACCCCUGGUGGUCUCUGAGGGUGAAACCUGCUAACUGCUGCAGCUCUGUCAGCUUCAGUCUCCCAUGCAGAGCUCUGAGCGCAUGUGUGGCUCUGCACCCUUAGCAGCGUUGCUAACUCCUCAGUAAGGAAAGCCUGCUUCAUGUCAGAGUCUCUAAACUCCAGAAGAAGUCGAUAAAAGUCCCUUUCUUUCUAAAAAAAAAAGUCGUUAGGGGGUCUGAAAAGUCAUUGAAUCUAACAACAAAGUCGCUAGGUUUGCAACUACAUGUCCCAGACUGCAUCCCUGCUGAGAGUCCCUCCCUCGCUUCUCAUGUUGCAGGAAGAACGUAAGCACCCGCCCCUUGUCAAUCAGUCACCAUAUAAUUUUGGAUUGGUUGUUGUGGUGAAGUUUUCCACCAAUAGGAGAGAUGUUGUGGUGUGUUUUUUUUUUCUUUUGGCAAGCCUUUUCCGCCUGUAAGACCUGUCGCUAAUGUCUGCAUGCUAUGUUUUCCUGUCUCAUACAGCGCGAUCGAGUGCCGAACGUGAUCAAAAUAAGCAGAAAAAAAGUAUCACGGACAUAAUUUAUCAUAACUCUGGUUUUAUUUGGCCUAUCAACACAAUUUAAAAACUGGUAUAUAGGUUGAGGUCCUCACUUUUGAGAUAAGUUGAAACGGAGAGUCAACGAGGCUCCGUCUUGCAGCUACAUCCGGUUAAAUAUGUCAUGUGACUUGAACGCACACACAGACACACACACACGCACACACACACACACACACACACACACACACACACACACACACUCAGAGUCUGGUUUUUAGCACCUGCAAAAACAUGCUAUUUACAUAUUUGACAAGAAUGCAGAGGCUCCUUUUGCCCCUGAAAAAAAUCAAAUUUCAAACACAACUUGACUGGUCAUUUCUCCAAAAGACAACCAUGAAGCUCCAUCCAAACCUGAAGCAGGCAGUUGGUGCAUGUGUACAGUAACCUGAGGGGAGUGAGGUGAGUGCUUCUGAGGAGAACAUGAGCAGUGAAGAUUCACCUUGGAGCUAGAACAGAGACAUGCACAUGAUUAUACAGGGGCAGGGGCUCAAGUUUUUUCCAGUCGUUUAUACAAUAUGGAAAUUAAUGUGAAAUUAAAACACAAAGUAUUAAUAGAAAGGUAAUGACUGUCCUGUGUAGGUGACAGUGAUAUCCAAUAGGCUAGGCACUCACGAGGCUGGCUGUGGCAAGUGUAAGUGAAAGCAACACGCACUGGCAGGAAGAACAGCAAACGCCGAUGAAGGAAAAGGGUCUUUGCAGUGAUGGGCGUUACCAGAGAGGGCGAUGGCCAGAGGACACAAAUGGGACGGGGAGGCAGCACGUUGGGGGGACGCGACACGGCUCGGGCCCGCCAGUGCCCCAACGGGGUCCUAGUUAUUUUUCCUCCCCUUUGAACUGGAAAAUGGCCCACUUCCCACUGGCGAAAAACUCAUGAAAUUUGGCAGGACGACCGGGCCUGGUGAAAAAUUUGAUAUUCCGAAGUCGCCCAAACAAGAAAAUGCAAAAUGGCUCCAUAGCGCCCCCUAAGGUGAAAAUUCACACUAUUGACUGUCACGCCUGUACGCUUUGUCAAAAUGACACAAAAAUUGACACACACAUGUAUCUCAAUAAGAUCUACAAAAAAGUCAGUGCGGGCGUAUCUGUCAAAUGUACGGUUAAAGGGUUAUUUCGCAUUUUUUGCCGAUCCGCACACAUUGGAAUUUCGCUAACUCCUCCGAAGGCUUUCGUUCCACCGACACCACAUUUGCUCAGGCCAAUCUACACCCCAUGGCCAUUAAAAGUUAUUCAAAUCAUGACGCUGCACCCCACGGUUUAGGUUCUAGGGGGCGCCAAAGAUAACCCUAAGAUCCACAUAUUUAAAAGUCUUAUAACUUUUUAUUUUUGCCCUCACUGGCCUCCAAGUUUUCUAGGAUGAUGCAAUGUCCAGCCAUCAACACAUUUGUGAAGGAAUUUUUACUCCCCAAAAGAGCGCCCCCCCAUGGCAGGAGAAAAAAGUCCAUUUUUUCUUGUCCCCUAAGGUGAAAAUACACAUUGUUGAGUGUAACACCUGUACGCUUUGGCAAAAUGACACAAAAAUUGACACACACAUGUAUCUCAAUAAGAUCUACGAAAAAGUCAAUGCGCGCGUAUCUGUCAAAUGUACGGUUAAAGGGUUAUUCCGCAUUUUUUGCCGAUCCGCACACAUUGGAAUUUCGCUAACUCCUCCGAAGGCUUUCGUUCCACCGGUACCACAUUUGCUCAGGCCAAUCUACACCCCAUGGCCAUUAAAAGUUAUUCAAAUCAUGACGCUGCACCCCACGGUUUAGGUUCUAGGGGGCGCCAAAGAUAACCGUAAAAUCCACAUAUUUAAAAGUCUUAUAACAUUUUAUUUUUGUCCCCACUGGCCUCCAAGUUUUCUAGGAUGAUGCAAUGUCCAGCCAUCAACACAUUUGUGAAGGAAUUUUUACUCCCCAAAAGAGCGCCCCCCCAUGGCAGGAGAAAAAAGUCCAUUUUUUCUUGUCCACUAAGGUGAAAAUACACAUUGUUGAGUGCUACGCCUGUAUGUUUUGUCGUAUUGACACAAAAUUUUACAUACACGUGUAUUUCAAUAAGAUCUUCGAAAAAGUCAAUGGCCACGUAUCUGUAAAAUGUACGGUUAAAGGGUUAUUUUGCAUUUUUUGCAGAUUCGCACACAUUGGAAUUUCGCUAACUCCUCCGAAGGCUUUUGUUCCACCGGCACCACAUUUGCUCAGGCCAAUCUACACCCCAUGGCCAUUAAAAGUUAUUCAAAUCAUGACGCUGCACCCCACGGUUUAGGUUCUAGGGGGCGCCAAAGAUAACCCUAAAAUCCACAUAUUUAAAAGUCUUAUAACUUUUUAUUUUUGUCCUCACUGGCCUCCAUGUUUUCUAGGAUGAUGCAAUGUCCAGCCAUCAACACAUUUGUGAAGGAGUUUUUUCUCGUUAAAAGAGCGCCCCCCCAUGGCAGGAGAAUAAAGUCAAGUUUUUCCUGUUCAUCAUUCAAUGGCUCAAACACACUGCUCUCUCGGCAAAAGCGAAAGGAGGAGCAACUUGCCAUUUGGAUAUAUCUUAGCUGUGUUUGUGCCCUCACUCAUGGUCCAGACUUUUUUCAAAUAGGACAUGGAGUUUUUCUGCAGCGAGCGCUUUGGUAGAAACUGCGCCUCCCGUUCAUUAUAAUGGUAAAUGACCACAAACAAGUGCGCACACCAUCUUUGGACCUUGAGUGUGACGCGAUCGGGUGGGGGAGGCGGUCGCGCUGGGGGCGGCGUGACACGGCUCGGGCCCGCCAGUGCCCCAACGGGGCCCUAGUUUGUUAUUAUUAUUAUUAUUAUUAUUUUUCCUCCCCUUUGAACUGGAAAAUGGCCCACUUCCCACUGGCGAAAACUCAUGAAAUUUGGCAGGACGACCGGGCCUGGUGAAAAAUUUGAUAUUCCGAAGUCGCCCAAACAAGAAAAAGCAAAAUGGCUCCAUAGCGCCCCCUACGGUGAAAAUUCACACUAUUCACUGUCACGCCUGUACGCUUUGUCAAAAUGACACAAAAAUUGACACACACAUGUAUCUCAAUAAGCUCUACAAAAAAGUCAGUGCGGGCGUAUCUGUCAAAUGUACGGUUAAAGGGUUAUUUCGCAUUUUUUGCCGAUCCGCACACAUUGGAAUUUCGCUAACUCCUCCGAAGGCUUUCGUUCCACCGGCACCACAUUUGCUCAGGCCAAUCUACACCCCAUGGCCAUUAAAAGUUAUUCAAAUCAUGACGCUGCACCCCACGGUUUACGUUCUAGGGGGCGCCAAAGAUAACCCAAAAAUCCACAUUUUUAAAAGUCUUAUAACUUUUUAUUUUUGUCCUCACUGGCCUCCAAGUUUUCUAGGAUGAUGCAAUGUCCAGCCAUCAACACAUUUGUGAAGGAAUUUUUACUCCCCAAAAGAGCGCCCCCCCAUGGCAGGAGAAAAAAGUCCAUUUUUUCUUGUCCCCUAAGGUGAAAAUUCACACUAUUGACUGUCACGCCUGUACGCUUUGUCAAAAUGACACAAAAAUUGACACACACAUGUAUCUCAAUAAGAUCUACAAAAAAGUCCAUGCGCGCGUAUCUGUCUAAUGUACGGUUAAAGGGUUAUUUCGCAUUUUUUGCCGAUCCGCACACAUUGGAAUUUCGCUAACUCCUCCGAAGGCUUUCGUUCCACCGGCACCACAUUUGCUCAGGCCAAUCUACACCCCAUGGCCAUUAAAAGUUAUUCAAAUCAUGACGCUGCACCCCACGGUUUACGUUCUAGGGGGCGCCAAAGAUAACCCAAAAAUCCACAUUUUUAAAAGUCUUAUAACUUUUUAUUUUUGUCCUCACUGGCCUCCAAGUUUUCUAGGAUGAUACAAUGUCCAGCCAUCAACACAUUUGUGAAGGAAUUUUUACUCCCCAAAAGAGCGCCCCCCCAUGGCAGGAGAAAAAAGUCCAUUUUUUCUUGUCCCCUAAGGUGAAAAUACACAUUGUUGACUGUCACGCCUGUACGCUUUGGCAAAAUGACACAAAAAUUGACAAUCAUGUGUAUCUCAAUUAGAUCUACGAAAAAGUCAAAGAGCGCGUAUCUGUAUAAUGUACGGUAAAAGGGCUAUUUUGCAUUUUUUGCCGAUUCGCACACAUUGGAAUUUCGCUAACUCCUCCUAAGGCUUUCGUCCCACUGACACCAAAUUUGCUCAGGCCAAUCUACACUCCAUGGCCAUUCAAAGUUGUAAAAAUCAUGACGCUGCACCCCACGGUUUACGUUUUAGGGGGCGCCAAAGAUGACCCAAAAAUCCACAUUCUUAAAAGAAUCCACAUCCCCCCCCCAUCCCCCAUCCCCCAUGGCAGGAGAAACAGUCAAGUUUUUCCUGCCCAUCACUCAAUGGCUCAAUCGCAUCGCUCUCCCGGCAACACCGUAAGGAGGAGCAAUCUGCCAUUUGGAUAUAUCCUAGCUGUGUUUGUGCCCUCACUCAUGGUCCAGACUUUUUUCAAAUAGGACAUGUAGUUUGUCUGCAGCGAGUGUUUUGGUAGAAACUGCGCCUCCCAUUCAUUUUAAUGGGAAAUGACCACAGACAAGUGCGCACACCAUCUUUGGACCUUGAGUGUGACGCGAUCGGGAGGGGGAGGCGGUCGCGCUGGGGGCGGCGCAACGCGGCUCGGGCCCGACAGUGCCCCACCGGGGCCCUAGUUCUUCUUUUUCCUCCCCUUUGAACUGGAAAAUGGCCCACUUCCCACUGGCGAAAACUCAUGAAAUUUGGCAGGACGACCGGGCCUGGUGAAAAAUUCGAUAUUCUGAAGUCGCCCAAACAAUAAAAUGCAAAAUGGCUCCAUAGCGCCCCCUAAGGUGGAAAUUCACACUAUUGACUGUCACGCCUGUACGCUUUGUCAUAUUGACACAAAAAUUGACACACAUAUGUAUCUCAAUAAGAUCUACAAAAAAGUCAGUGCGGCCGUAUCUGUCAAAUGUACGGUUAAAGGGUUAUUUCGCAUUUUUUGCCGAUCCGCACACAUUGGAAUUUCGCUAACUCCUCCGAAGGCUUUCGUUCCACCGGCACCACAUUUGCUCAGGCCAAUCUACACCCCAUGGCCAUUAAAAGUUAUUCAAAUCAUGAUGCUGCACCCCAUGGUUUAGGUUCUAGGGGGCGCCAAAAAUAACCCAAAAAUCCACAUUCUUAAAAGUUUUAUAACUUUUUAUUUUUGUCCUCACUGGCCUCCAAGUUUUCUAGGAUGAUGCAAUGUCCAGCCAUCAACACAUUUGUGAAGGAAUUUUUACUCCCCAAAAGAGCGCCCCCCCAUGGCAGGAGAAAAAAGUCCAUUUUUUCUUGUCCCCUAAGGUGAAAAUACACAUUGUUGAGUGUCACGCCUAUACGCUUUGUCAAAAUGACACAAAAAUUGACACACACAUGUAACUCAAUAAGAUCUACAAAAAAGUCCAUGCGCGCGUAUCUGUCAAAUGUACAGUUAAAGGGUUAUUCCGCAUUUUUUGCCGAUACGCACACAUUGGAAUUUCGCUAACUCCUCCGAAGGCUUUCGUUCCACCGGCACCACAUUUGCUUAGGCCAAUCUACACCCCAUGGCCAUUAAAAGUUAUUCAAAUCAUGAUGCUGCACCCCAUGGUUUAGGUUCUAGGGGGCGCCAAAAAUAACCCAAAAAUCCACAUUCUUAAAAGUUUUAUAACUUUUUAUUUUUGUCCUCACUGGCCUCCAAGUUUUCUAGGAUGAUGCAAUGUCCAGCCAUCAACACAUUUGUGAAGGAAUUUUUACUCCCCAAAAGAGCGCCCCCCCAUGGUAGGAGAAAAAAGUCAAUUUUUUCUUGUCCCCUUACAUAAAAAUACACAUUGUUGAGUGUCACGCCUGAACGCUUUGUCAUAUUGACACAAAAAUUGACAAUCAUGUGUAUCUCAAUUAGAUCUACGAAAAAGUCAAAGAGCGCGUAUCUGUAUAAUGUACGGUUAAAGGGCUAUUUUGCAUUUUUUGCCGAUUCGCACACAUUGGAAUGUGGCUAUCUCCUCCUAAGGCUUUCGUCCCACCGAUACCAAAUUUGCUCAGGGCAAUCUACACCCCAUGCCCAUUCAAAGUUGUAAAAAUCAUGACGCUGCACCCCACGGUUUACGUUCUAGGGGGCGCCAAAGAUGACCCAAAAAUCCACAUUCUUAAAAGUCAUUUUGGCCACUGCAGGAGUACAGAGUACUGCAGUUCUAGGGGGCGCCAAAGAUGACCCAAAAAUCCACAUUCUUAAAAGUCUUUUUGGCCACUGCAGGAGUACAGAGUACUGCAGGAUACACACACAUAUACACACACGCCAACAUACACACACACACACACACACACACACACACACACACACACAGACACACACACACACUCAGAGUCUGUUUUUUAGCACCUGCAAAAACAUGCUGUUUACAUAUUUGACAAGAAUGCAGAGGCUUCCUUUUGCCCCUGAAAAAAAUCAAAUUUCAAACACAACUUGACUGUUCAUUUCUCCAAAAGACAACCAUGAAGCUCCAUUUCAAACCUGAAGCAGAUAGUUGGUGCAUGUGUACAGUAACCUGAGGGGAGUGAGGUGACUAUUUCUGAGGAGAACAUGAGCAGUGAAGAUUCACCUUGGAGCUAGAACAGGGACGUGCACAUGAUUAUACAGGGGCAGGGGCUCAAGUUUUUUCCAGUCAUUUAUACAAUAUGGAAAUUAAUGUGAAAUUAAACCACAAAUAUGUGUGAUGAACUGUUUUUAAAACUUAAACUUCAAAUAAAAAUUGUAAACUUCAAAACAUAUGCAAAUUUUUAACAAAGAACAUAGUGAUUUACCUCUAUUUACAUCAAAAUGCAGGCAAUGGCCCAGGCGUUCUUUGUAAAAUUAUUUACAAAACACUGUAUAGUCUCACAAAUGUCACUUUUUAUUUAUGCCACUACAAAAAAACAUGAUGUAAAUGAUGCAUGAUGUAAAACAUGAUGUAAAAAACUUGUGUAGAUCCUCCUCUAUGUCAGUCCAUGUGUAAUUUUUCCAUAAUUCUUUGUUUUUUGCAGCAUUUUUGUUAGUGUAACUGCAGAUUGUGCUGACAGUGUCUAUGGCACAAAAAAAAAAAAAAUUUAAAAUGCCUCAACAUGAACCCCUGGUGGUCUCUGAGGGUGAAACCUGCUAACUGCUGCAGCUCUGUCAGCUUCAGUCUCCCAUGCAGAGCUCUGAGCGCAUGUGUGGCUCUGCACCCUUAGCAGCGUUGCUAACUCCUCAGUAAGGAAAGCCUGCUUCAUGUCAGAGUCUCUAAACUCCAGAAGAAGUCGAUAAAAGUCCCUUUCUUUCUAAAAAAAAGUCGUUAGGGGGUCUGAAAAGUCAUUGAAUCUAACAACAAAGUCGCUAGGUUUGCAACUACGUGUCCCAGACUGCAUCCCUGCUGAGAGUCCCUCCCUCCCUUCUCAUGUUGCAGGAAGAACGUAAGCACCCUCCCCUUGUCAAUCAGUCAACAUAUAAUUUUGGAUUGGUUGUUGUGGUGAAGUUUUCCACCAAUAGGAGAGAUGUUGUGGUGUGUUUUUUUUUUCUUUUGGCAAGCCUUUUCCGCCUGUAAGACCUGUCGCUAAUGUCUGCAUGCUAUGUUUUCCUGUCUCAUACAGCGCGAUCGAGCGCCGAACGUGAUCAAAAUAAGCAGAAAAAAAGUAUCGCGGACAUAAUUUAUCAUAACUCUGGUUUUAUUUGGCCUAUCAACACAAUUUAAAAACUGGUAUAUAGGUUGAGGUCCUCACUUUUGAGAUAAGUUGAAACGGAGAGUCAACGAGGCUCCGUCUUGCAGCUACAUCCGGUUAAAUAUGUCAUGUGACUUGAACGCACACACAGACACACACACAGGCACACACACACACACACACACACUCAGAGUCUGGUUUUUAGCACCUGCAAAAACAUGCUAUUUACAUAUUUGACAAGAAUGCAGAGGCUCCUUUUGCCCCUGAAAAAAAUCAAAUUUCAAACACAACUUGACUGGUCAUUUCUCCAAAAGACAACCAUGAAGCUCCAUCCAAACCUGAAGCAGGUAGUUGGUGCAUGUGUACAGUAACCUGAGGGGAGUGAGGUGAGUGCUUCUGAGGAGAACAUGAGCUGUGAAGAUUCACCUUGGAGCUAGAACAGAGACAUGCACAUGAUUAUACAGGGGCAGGGGCUCAAGUUUUUUCCAGUCGUUUAUACAAUAUGGAAAUUAAUGUGAAAUUAAAACACAAAGUAUUAAUAGAAAGGUAAUGACUGUCCUGUGUAAGUGACAGUGAUAUCCAAUAGGCUAGGCACUCACGAGGCUGGCUGUGGCAAGUGUAAGUGAAAGCAACACGCACUGGCAAGAAGAACAGCAAACGCCGAUGAAGGAAAAGGGUCUUUGCAGUGAUGGGCGUUACCAGAGAGGGCGAUGGCCAGAGGACACAAAUGGGACGGGGAGGCAGCACGUUUGGGGGGGGGGGACGCGACACGGCUCGGGCCCGCCAGUGCCCCAACGGGGUCCUAGUUAUUAUUUUUCUGCCCCUUUGAACUGGAAAAUGGCCCACUUCCCACUGGUGAAAAGUCAUGAAAUUUGGCAGGACGACCGGGCCUGGUGAAAAAUUCGAUAUUCUGAAGUCGCCCAAAAAAUCAAAUGCAAAAUGGCUCCAUAGCGCCCCCUAAGGUGAAAAAUUCACAUGAUUGAGUGUCACGCCUGUACGCUUUGUCAAAAUGACACAAAAUUUGACACACACGUGUAUCUCAAUAAGAUCUACAAAAAAGUCAGUCCGGGCGUAUCUGUCAAAUGUACGGUUAAAGGGCUAUUUCGCAUUUUUUGCCGAUCCGCACACAUUGGAAUUUCGCUAACUCCUCCGAAGGCUUUCGUUCCACCGGCACCAAAUUUGCUCAGGCCAAUCUACACCCCAUGGCCAUUAAAAGUUGUACAAAUCAUGAUGCUGCAUCCCACGGUUUACGUUCUAGGGGGCGCCAAAGAUAACCCAGAAAUCCACAUUCUUAAAAGUCGUAUAACUUUUUAUUUUUGUCCUCACUGGCCUCCAAGUUUUCUAGGAUGAUGCAAUGUCUAGCCAUCAACACAUUUGUGAAGGAAUUUUUACUCCCCAAAAGAGCGCCCCCCCAUGGCAGGAGAAAAAAGUCCAGUUUUUCUUCCCCCUAAGGUGAAAAUUCACAUUAUUGAGUGUCACGCCUGUACGCUUUGUCAUAUUGUAACAAACUUUGACAAUCACGUGUUUCUCAAUAAGAUCUACGAAAUAGUCAAUGGGCGCGUAUCUGUAAAAUGUACGGUUAAAGGGCUAUUUCGCAUUUUUGGUCGAUUCGCACACAUUGGAAUGUGGCUAACUCCUCCUAAAUAUUUCGUUCCACUGACACCAAAUUUACUCAGGCCAAUCUACAUUCCAUGGCCAUUCAAAGUUGUAAAAAUCAUGACGCUGCACCCCACGGUUUAUGUUCUAGGGGGCGCCAAAGAUAACCCAAAAAUCCACAUUCUUAAAAGUCUUAUAACUUUUUAUUUUUGUCCUCACUGGCCUCCAAGUUUUCUAGGAUGAUGCAAUGUCUAGCCAUCAACACAUUUGUGAAGGAAUUUUUACUCCCUAAAAGAGCGCCCCCCCAUGGCAGGAGAAAAAGUCAAGUUUUUCCUGCCCAUCGCUCAAUGACUCAAACACAUCGCUCUCUCGGCAAAACCGAAAGGAGGAGCAACUUGCCAUUUGGAUAUAUCCUAGCUGUGUUUGUGCCCUCACUCAUGGUCCAGUCCUUUUCAAAUAGGACACGUAGUUUGUCUGCGGCGAGCGUUUUGGUAGAAACUGCGCCUCCCAUUCAUUAUAAUUGUAAAUGACCACAGACAAGUGCGCACACCAUCUUUGGACCUUGAGUGUGACGCGAUCGGUAGGGAGAGGCGGUCGUGUUGGGGGCGGCGCGACACGGCUCGGGCCCGCCAGUGCCCCAACGGGGCCCUAGUUCUUCUUAUUUUUCCUCCCCUUUGAAGGGGAAAAUGGCCCACUUCCCACUGGCGAAAACUCAUGACAUUUGGCAGGAUGACCGGGCCUGGUGAAAAAUUCGAUAUUCUGAAGUCGCCCAAACAAUAAAAUGCAAAAUGGCUCCAUAGCGCCCCCUAAGGUGAAAAUUCACACUAUUGACUGUCACGCCUGUACGCUUUGUCAUAUUGACACAAAAAUUGACACACACAUGUAUCUCAAUACGAUCUACAAAAAAGUCAGUGUGGGCGUAUCUGUCAAAUGUACGGUUAAAGGGUUAUUUCGCAUUUUUUACCGAUCCGCACACAUUGGAAUUUCGCUAACUCCUCCGAAGGCUUUCGUUCCACCGGCACCAAAUUUGCUCAGGCCAAUCUACACCCCAUGGCCAUUAAAAGUUGUACAAAUCAUGACGCUGCACCCCACGGUUUAGGUUCUAGGGGGCGCCAAAGAUAACCCAAAAAUCCACAUUCUUAAAAGUCUUAUAACUUUUUAUUUUUGUCCUCACUGGCCUCCAAGUUCUCUAGGAUGAUGCAAUGUCCAGCAAUUAACACAUUUGUGAAGGAAUUUUUACUCGCCAAAAGAGCGCCCCCCCAUGGCAGGAGAAAAAAGUCCAUUUUUUUCUUGUCCCCUAAGGCGAAUAUACACAUUGUUGAGUGUCACGCCUGUACGCUUUGUCAUAUUGACACAAAAUUUGGCAAUCACGUGUAUCUCAAUAAGAUCUACGAAAAAGUCAAUGUGCACGUAUCUGUAAAAUGUACGGUUAAAGGGCUAUUUCGCAUUUUUUGCCGAUUCGCACACAUUGGAAUGUGGCUAACUCCUCCUAAGGCUUUCGUCCCACUGACACCAAAUUUGCUCAGGCCAAUCUAAACCCCAUGGCCAUUCAAAGUUGUAAAUAUCAUGACGCUGCACCCCACGGUUUACGUUCUAGGGGGCGCCAAAGAGGACCCAAAUAUCCACAUUUUUAAAAGUCUUAUAACUUUAUUUUUGUCCUCACUGGCCUCCAAGUUUUCUAGGAUGAUGCAAUGUUCAGUCAUCAACACAUUUGUGAAGGAAUUUUUUCUCCCCAAAAGAGCGCCCUCCCAUGGCAGGAGAAAAAGUCAAGUUUUUCCUGCCCAUCGCUCAAUGGCUCAAACGCAUCGCUCUCUCGGCAAAACCGAAAGGAGGAGCACCUUGCCAUUUGGAUAUAUCAUAGCUGUGUUUGUGCCCUCACUCAUGGUCCAGACUUUUUUCAAAAAGGACAUGGAGUUUGUCUGCAGCGAGCGUUUUGGUAGAAACUGCGCCUCCCAUUCAUUAUAAUGGUAAAUGACCACAGACAAGUGCGCACACCAUCUUUGGACCUUGAGUGUGACGCGAUCGGGAGGGGUAGGCGGUCGCGCUGGGGGCGGCGCGACACGGCUCGGGCCCGCCAGUGCCCCAACGGGGCCCUAGUUUUUUCUUUUUCCUCCCCUUUGAACUGGAAAAUGGCCCACUUCCCACUGGCGAAAACUCAGGAAAUUUGGCAGGACGACCGGGCCUGGUGAAAAAUUUGAUAUUCCGAAGUCGCCCAAACAAGAAAAUGCAAAAUGGCUCCAUAGCGCCCCCUAAGGUGAAAAUUCACAUGACGGCUGUACGCUUUGUCAUAUUGACACAAAAAUUGACACACACAUGUAUCUCAAUAAGAUCUACAAAAAAGUCAGUGCGGGCGUAUCUGUCAAAUGUACGGUUAAUGGGUUAUUUUGCAUUUUUUGCAGAUCUGCACACAUUGGAAUUUCGCUAACUCCUCCGAAGGCUUUCGUUCCACCGGCACCACAUUUGCUCAGGCCAAUCUACACCCCAUGGCCAUUAAAAGUUAUUCAAAUCAUGACGCUGCACCCCACGGUUUAGGUUCUAGGGGGCGCCAAAAAUAACCCUAAAAUCCACAUAUUUAAAAGUCUUAUAACUUUUUAUUUUUGUCCUCACUGGCCUCCAAGUUUUCUAGGAUGAUGCAAUGUCCAGCCAUCAACACAUUUGUGAAGGAAUUUUUACUCCCCAAAAGAGCGCCCCCCCAUGGCAGGAGAAAAAAGUCCAUUUUUUCUUGUCCCCUAAGGUGAAAAUACACAUUGUUGAGUGUCACGCCUUUACGCUUUGGCAAAAUGACACAAAAAUUUACACACACAUGUAUCUCUAUAAGAUCUACAAAAAAGUCUAUGAGCGCGUAUCUGUCAAAUGUACGGUUAAAGGGUUAUUCCGCAUUUUUUGCCGAUACGCACACAUUGGAAUGUGGCUAACUCCUCCGAAGGCUUUCGUUCCACCGGCACCACAUUUGCUCAGGCCAAUCUACACCCCAUGGCCAUUAAAAGUUAUUCAAAUCAUGACGCUGCACCCCACGGUUUAGGUUCUAGGGGGCGCCAAAGAUAACCCUAAAAUCCACAUUUUUAAAAGUCUUAUAACUUUUUAUUUUUGCCCUCACUGGCCUCCAAGUUUUCUAGGAUGAUGCAAUGUCCAGCCAUCAACACAUUUGUGAAGGAAUUUUUACUCCCCAAAAGAGCGCCCCCCCAUGGCAGGAGAAAAAAGUCCAUUUUUUUCUUGUCCCCUAAGGUGAAAAUACACAUUGUUGAGUGUCACGCCUGUACGCUUUGUCAAAAUGACACAAAAAUUGACACACACAUGUAUCUCAAUAAGAUCUACAAAAAAGUCAAUGCGCGCGUAUCUGUCUAAUGUACGGUUAAAGGGUUAUUCCGCAUUUUUUGCCGAUUCGCACACAUUGGAAUUUCGCUAACUCCUCCGAAGGCUUUCGUUCCACCGGCACCACAUUUGCUCAGGCCAAAUUACACCCCAUGGCCAUUAAAAGUUAUUCAAAUCAUGACGCUGCACCCCACGGUUUACGUUCUAGGGGGCGCCAAAGAUAACCCAAAAAUCCACAUUUUUAAAAGUCUUAUAACUUUUUAUUUUUGUCCUCACUGGCCUCCAAGUUUUCUAGGAUGAUGCAAUGUCCAGCCAUCAACACAUUUGUGAAGGAAUUUUUACUCCCCAAAAGAGCGCCCCCCAUGGCAGGAGAAAAAAGUCCAUUUUUUCUUGUCCCCUAAGGUGAAAAUACACAUUGUUGACUGUCACGCCUGUACGCUUUGGCAAAAUGACACAAAAAUUGACAAUCAUGUGUAUCUCAAUUAGAUCUACGAAAAAGUCAAAGAGCGCGUAUCUGUAUAAUGUACGGUAAAAGGGCUAUUUUGCAUUUUUUGCCGAUUCGCACACAUUGGAAUUUCGCUAACUCCUCCUAAGGCUUUCGUCCCACUGACACCAAAUUUGCUCAGGCCAAUCUACACUCCAUGGCCAUUCAAAGUUGUAAAAAUCAUGACGCUGCACCCCACGGUUUACGUUUUAGGGGGCGCCAAAGAUGACCCAAAUAUACAUUACAGUAGACAAAGUAGUUUUGCCCACUGAGUGGCGGCAAAGGGACUUGUCUGUGGAGUCUGUGAGUCACUAUUGGCCGUUUUUGACUACUUUAGAUUUUACCUUUAUAUUUCCUCUUACAAAAUUUUUACCUUGCCUUGCCUGGUAUCAUUUUUUUCAGCACAACCUCACCUGUGUCAAUUUACAGUUAUUUUAUCAUUUUGACAUACUAUAUUUACACAUUGGACCCAAAUUCACACACAAAACAUAAAAUCCGAGUGGAAAAAAGUAACGUUUUUACUGUGAAAACCACAAAUAUGUGUGAUGAACUGUUUUUAAAACUUAAACUUCAAAUAAAAAUUGUAAACUUCAAAACAUAUGCAAAUUUUUAACAAAGAACAUAGUAAUUUACCUCUAUUGACAUCAAAAUGCAGGCAAUGGCCCAGGUGUUCUUUGUAAAAUUAUUUACAAAACACUGUAUAGUCUCACAAAUGUCACUUUUUAUUUAUGCCACUACAAAAAAACAUGAUGUAAAUGAUGCAUGAUGUAAAACAUGAUGUAAAAAACUUGUGUAGAUCCUCCUCUAUGUUAGUCCAUGUGUAAUUUUUCCAUAAUUCUUUGUUUUUUGCAGCAUUUUUGUUAGUGUAACUGCAGAUUGUGCUGACAGUGUCUAUGGCAAAAAAAAAAAAAAAAUUAAAAUGCCUCAACAUGAACCCCUGGUGGUCUCUGAAGGUGAAACCUGCUAACUGCUGCAGCUCUGUCAGCUUCAGUCUCCCAUGCAGAGCUCGGAGCGCAUGUGUGGCUCUGCACCCUUAGCAGCGUUGCUAACUCCUCAGUAAGGAAAGCCUGCUUCAUGUCAGAGUCUCUAAACUCCAGAAGAAGUCGAUAAAAGUCACUUUCUUUCUAAAAAAAAGUCGUUAGGGGGUCUGAAAAGUCAUUGAAUCUAACAACAAAGUCGCUAGGUUUGCAACUACGUGUCCCAGACUGCAUCCCUGCUGAGAGUCCCUCCCUCCCUUCUCAUAUUGCAGGAAGAACGUAAGUUCCCGCCCCUUGUCAAUCAGUCACCAUAUAAUUUUGGAUUGGUUGUUGUGGUGAAGUUUUCCACCAAUAGGAGAGAUGUUGUGGUGUGUUUUUUUUUCCUUUGGCAAGCCUUUUCCGCCUGUAAGACCUGUCGCUAAUGUCUGCAUGCUAUGUUUUCCUGUCUCAUACAGCGCGAUCGAGCGCCGAACGUGAUCAAAAUAAGCAGAAAACAAGUAUCGUGGACAUAAUUUAUCAUAACUCUGGUUUUAUUUGGCCUAUCAACACAAUUUAAAAACUGGUAUAUAGGUUGAGGUCCUCACUUUUGAGAUAAAUUGAAACGGAGAGUCAACGAGGCUCCGUCUUGCAGCUACAUCCGGUUAAAUAUGUCAUGUGACUUGAACGCACACACACACACACACACACACACACACACACACACACAAACACACGCACACACACACACUCAGAGUCUGGUUUUUAGCACCUGCAAAAACAUGCUAUUUACAUAUUUGACAAGAAUGCAGAGGCUCCUUUUGCCCCUGAAAAAAAUCAAAUUUCAAACACAACUUGACUGGUCAUUUCUCCAAAAGACAACCAUGAAGCUCCAUCCAAACCUGAAGCAGGCAGUUGGUGCAUGUGUACAGUAACCUGAGGGGAGUGAGGUGACUGCUUCUGAGGAGAACAUGAGCAGUGAAGAUUCACCUUAGAGCUAGAACAGAGACGUGCACAUGAUUAUACAGGGGCAGGGGCUCAAGUUUUUUCCAGUUGUUUAUACAAUAUGGAAAUUAAUGUGAAAUUAAAAAACAAAGUAUUAAUAGAAAGGUAAUGACUGUCCUGUGUAGGUGACAGUGAUAUCCAAUAGGCUAGGCACUCACGAGGCUGGCUGUGGCAAGUGUAAGUGAAAGCAACACGCACUGGCAGGAAGAACAGCAAACGCCGAUGAAGGAAAAGGGUCUUUGCAGUGAUGGGCGUUACCAGAGAGGGCGAUGGCCAGAGGACACAAAUGGGACGGGGAGGCAGCGCGUUGGGGGGGGGACGCGACACAGCUCGGGCCCGCCAGUGCCCCAACGGGGUCCUAGUUAGGGCCCGAGCGUAGCUGCUAAGCAGCUGCGAGAGCCCUCUUGUUCCUGCAUGUUUCCUUCUUUCGUUAUUAUUUUUCCUCCGCUUUAAACUGGAAAAUGGCCCACUUCCCACUGGCGAAAACUCAGGAAAUUUGGCAGGACGACCGGGCCUGGUGAAAAAUUCGAUAUUCUGAAGUCGCCCAAACAAUAAAAUGCAAAAUGGCUCCAUAGCGCCCCCUAAGGUGAAAAUUCACAUGACGGCUGUACGCUUUGUCAUAUUGACACAAAAAUUGACACACAUAUGUAUCUCAAUAAGAUCUACAAAAAAGUCAGUGUGGGCGUAUCUGUCAAAUGUACGGUUAAUGGGUUAUUUUGCAUUUUUUGCAGAUCUGCACACAUUGGAAUUUCGCUAACUCCUCCGAAGGCUUUCGUUCGACCGGCACCACAUUUGCGCAGGCCAAUCUACCCCCCAUGGCCAUUAAAAGUUGUACAAAUCAUGUCGCUGCACCCCACGGUUUAUGUUCUAGGGGGCGCCAAAGAUAACCCAAAAUCCACAUUCUUAAAAGUCUUAUAACUUUUUAUUUUUGUCCUCACUGCCCUCCAAGUUUUCUAGGAUGAUGCAAUGUCCAGCCAAUAACACAUUUGUGAAGGAAUUUUUACUCCCCAAAAGAGCGCCCCCCCAUGGCAGGAGAAAAAAGUCAAUUUUUUCUUGUCCCCUUACAUGAAAACACACAUUGUUGAGUGUCACGCCUGAACGCUUUGUCAUAUUGACACAAAAAUUGACAAUCAUGUGUAUCUCAAUUAGAUCUACGAAAAAGUCAAAAAGCGCGUAUCUGUAUAAUGUACGGUUAAAGGGCUAUUUCGCAUUUUUUGCCGAUUCGCACACAUUGGAAUGUGGCUAUCUCCUCCUAAGGCUUUCGUCCCACCGAUACCAAAUUUGCUCAGGGCAAUCUACAUCCCAUGCCCAUUCAAAGUUGUAAAAAUCAUGACGCUGCACCCCACGGUUUACGUUCUAGGGGGCGCCAAAGAUGACCCAAAAAUCCACAUUCUUAAAAGUCAUUUUGGCCACUGCAGGAGUACAGAGUACUGCAGUUCUAGGGGGCGCCAAAGAUGACCCAAAAAUCCACAUUCUUAAAAGUCUUUUUGGCCACUGCAGGAGUACAGAGUACUGCAGGAUACACACACAUACACACACACACACACACACACACACACACACACACACACACACACACACACACACACACACUCAGAGUCUGUUUUUUAGCACCUGCAAAAACAUGCUAUUUACAUAUUUGACAAGAAUGCAGAGGCUUCCUUUUGCCGCUGAAAAAAAUCAUAUUUCAAACACAACUUGACUGUUCAUUUCUCCAAAAGACAACCAUGAAGCUCCAUCCAAACCUGAAGCAGGCAGUUGGUGCAUGUGUACAGUAACCUGAGGGGAGUGAGGUGAGUGCUUCUGAGGAGAACAUGAGCAGUGAAGAUUCACCUUGGAGCUAGAACAGAGACAUGCACAUGAUUAUACAGGGGCAGGGGCUCAAGUUUUUUCCAGUUGUUUAUACAAUAUGGAAAUUAAUGUGAAAUUAAAACACAAAGUAUUAAUAGAAAGGUAAUGACUGUCCUGUGUAGGUGACAGUGAUAUCCAAUAGGCUAGGCACUCACGAGGCUGGCUGUGGCAAGUGUAAGUGAAAGCAACACGCACUGGCAGGAAGAACAGCAAACGCCGAUGAAGGAAAAGGGUCUUUGCAGUGAUGGGCGUUACCAGAGAGGGCGAUGGCCAGAGGACACAAAUGGGACGGGGAGGCAGCACGUUGGGGGGGGGGACGCGACACGGCUCGGGCCCGCCAGUGCCCCAACGGGGUCCUAGUUAUUAUUAGGGCCCGAGCGUAGCUGCUAAGCAGCUGCGAGAGCCCUAUUAUUCCCCAAGUGGUUUUUCUUUGUUAGGGCCCGAGCGUAGCUGCUAAGCAGCUGCGAGAGCCCUAUUAUUCCUGAUGGAUUCUUCUUUCUUCUUCUUCUUAUUAGGGCCCGAGCCAGCUGCAGAGCAGCCGGGCGUAGGCCCUAUUAUUCCCCAAGUGGUUUUUCUUUGUUUCUUUCUUUCUUUCUUUCUUUCUUCUUUUUCCUCCCCUUUGAACUGGAAAAUGGCCCACUUCCCACUGGCGAAAACUCAUGAAAUUUGGCAGGACGACCGGGCCUGGUGAAAAAUUUGAUAUUCUGAAGUCGCCCAAACAUUAAAAUGCAAAAUGGCUCCAUAGCGCCCCCUAAGGUGGAAAUUCACACUAUUGACUGUCACGCCUGUACGCUUUGUCAUAUUGACACAAAAAUUGACACACAUAUGUAUCUCAAUAAGAUCUACAAAAAAGUCAGUGCGGCCGUAUCUGUCAAAAUUACGGUUAAAGGGUUAUUUCGCAUUUUUUGCCGAUCCGCACACAUUGGAAUUUCGCUAACUCCUCCGAAGGCUUUCGUUCCACCAGCACCACAUUUGCUCAGGCCAAUCUACACCCCGUGGCCAUUAAAAGUUAUCAAAAUCAUGACGCUGCACCCCAAGGUUUAGGUUCUAGGGGGCGCCAAAGAUAACACUAAAAUCCACAUAUUUAAAAGUCUUAUAACUUUUUAUUUUUGUCCUCACUGGCCUCCAAGUUUUCUAGGAUGAUGCAAUGUCCAGCCAUCAACACAUUUGUGAAGGAAUUUUUACUCCCCAAAAGAGCGCCCCCCCAUGGCAGGAGAAAAAAGUCCAUUUUUUCUUGUCCCCUAAGGUGAAAAUACACAUUGUUGAGUGUCACGCCUAUACGCUUUGUCAAAAUGACACAAAAAUUGACACACACAUGUAACUCAAUAAGAUCUACAAAAAAGUCCAUGCGCGCGUAUCUGUCAAAUGUACAGUUAAAGGGUUAUUCCGCAUUUUUUGCCGAUACGCACACAUUGGAAUUUCGCUAACUCCUCCGAAGGCUUUCGUUCCACCGGCACCACAUUUGCUCAGGCCAAUCUACACCCCAUGGCCAUUAAAAGUUAUUCAAAUCAUGAUGCUGCACCCCACGGUUUAGGUUCUAGGGGGCGCCAAAGAUAACCCAAAAAUCCACAUUCUUAAAUGUUUUAUAACUUUUUAUUUUUGUCCUCACUGGCCUCCAAGUUUUCUAGGAUGAUGCAAUGUCCAGCCAUCAACACAUUUGUGAAGGAAUUUUUACUCCCCAAAAGAGCGCCCCCCCAUGGUAGGAGAAAAAAGUCAAUUUUUUCUUGUCCCCUUACAUAAAAAUACACAUUGUUGAGUGUCACGCCUGAACGCUUUGUCAUAUUGACACAAAAAUUGACAAUCAUGUGUAUCUCAAUUAGAUCUACGAAAAAGUCAAAGAGCGCGUAUCUGUAUAAUGUACGGUUAAAGGGCUAUUUUGCAUUUUUUGCCGAUUCGCACACAUUGGAAUGUGGCUAUCUCCUCCUAAGGCUUUCGUCCCACCGAUACCAAAUUUGCUCAGGGCAAUCUACACCCCAUGCCCAUUCAAAGUUGUAAAAAUCAUGACGCUGCACCCCACGGUUUACGUUCUAGGGGGCGCCAAAGAUGACCCAAAAAUCCACAUUCUUAAAAGUCAUUUUGGCCACUGCAGGAGUACAGAGUACUGCAGUUCUAGGGGGCGCCAAAGAUGACCCAAAAAUCCACAUUCUUAAAAGUCUUUUUGGCCACUGCAGGAGUACAGAGUACUGCAGGAUACACACACAUAUACACACACGCCAACAUACACACAUACACACACACACACACACACACACACACAGACACACACACACACUCAGAGUCUGUUUUUUAGCACCUGCAAAAACAUGCUGUUUACAUAUUUGACAAGAAUGCAGAGGCUUCCUUUUGCCCCUGAAAAAAAUCAAAUUUCAAACACAACUUGACUGUUCAUUUCUCCAAAAGACAACCAUGAAGCUCCAUUUCAAACCUGAAGCAGAUAGUUGGUGCAUGUGUACAGUAACCUGAGGGGAGUGAGGUGACUAUUUCUGAGGAGAACAUGAGCAGUGAAGAUUCACCUUGGAGCUAGAACAGGGACGUGCACAUGAUUAUACAGGGGCAGGGGCUCAAGAUUUUUCCAGUCAUUUAUACAAUAUGGAAAUUAAUGUGAAAUUAAACCACAAAUAUGUGUGAUGAACUGUUUUUAAAACUUAAACUUCAAAUAAAAAUUGUAAACUUCAAAACAUAUGCAAAUUUUUAACAAAGAACAUAGUAAUUUACCUCUAUUUACAUCAAAAUGCAGGCAAUGGCCCAGGCGUUCUUUGUAAAAUUAUUUACAAAACACUGUAUAGUCUCACAAAUGUCACUUUUUAUUUAUGCCACUACAAAAAAACAUGAUGUAAAUGAUGCAUGAUGUAAAACAUGAUGUAAAAAACUUGUGUAGAUCCUCCUCUAUGUCAGUCCAUGUGUAAUUUUUCCAUAAUUAUUUGUUUUUUGCAGCAUUUUUGUUAGUGUAACUGCAGAUUGUGCUGACAGUGUCUAUGGCACAAAAAAAAAAAAAAUUAAAAUGCCUCAACAUGAACCCCUGGUGGUCUCUGAGGGUGAAACCUGCUAACUGCUGCAGCUCUGUCAGCUUCAGUCUCCCAUGCAGAGCUCUGAGCGCAUGUGUGGCUCUGCACCCUUAGCAGCGUUGCUAACUCCUCAGUAAGGAAAGCCUGCUUCAUGUCAGAGUCUCUAAACUCCAGAAGAAGUCGAUAAAAGUCCCUUUCUUUCUAAAAAAGUCGUUAGGGUGUCUGAAAAGUCAUUGAAUCUAACAACAAAGUCGCUAGGUUUGCAACUACGUGUCCCAGACUGCAUCCCUGCUGAGAGUCCCUCCCUCCCUUCUCAUGUUGCAGGAAGAACGUAAGCGCCCGCCCCUUGUCAAUCAGUCACCAUAUAAUUUUGGAUUGGUUGUUGUGGUGAAGUUUUCCACCAAUAGGAGAGAUGUUGUGGUGUGUUUUUUUUUUCUUUUGGCAAGCCUUUUCCGCCUGUAAGACCUGUCGCUAAUGUCUGCAUGCUAUGUUUUCCUGUCUCAUACAGCGCGAUCGAGCGCCGAACGUGAUCAAAAUAAGCAGAAAAAAAGUAUCGCGGACAUAAUUUAUCAUAACUCUGGUUUUAUUUGGCCUAUCAACACAAUUUAAAAACUGGUAUAUAGGUUGAGGUCCUCACUUUUGAGAUAAGUUGAAACGGAGAGUCAACGAGGCUCCGUCUUGCAGCUACAUCCGGUUAAAUAUGUCAUGUGACUUGAACGCACACAUAGACACACACACACGCACACACACACACACACACACACACACACACACACACACACACACACACACACACACACUCAGAGUCUGGUUUUUAGCACCUGCAAAAACAUGCUAUUUACAUAUUUGACAAGAAUGCAGAGGCUCCUUUUGCCCCUGAAAAAAAUCAAAUUUCAAACACAACUUGACUGGUCAUUUCUCCAAAAGACAACCAUGAAGCUCCAUCCAAACCUGAAGCAGGCAGUUGGUGCAUGUGUACAGUAACCUGAGGGGAGUGAGGUGAGUGCUUCUGAGGAGAACAUGAGCAGUGAAGAUUCACCUUGGAGCUAGAACAGAGACAUGCACAUGAUUAUACAGGGGCAGGGGCUCAAGUUUUUUCCAGUCGUUUAUACAAUAUGGAAAUUAAUGUGAAAUUAAAACACAAAGUAUUAAUAGAAAGGUAAUGACUGUCCUGUGUAGGUGACAGUGAUAUCCAAUAGGCUAGGCACUCACGAGGCUGGCUGUGGCAAGUGUAAGUGAAAGCAACACGCACUGGCAGGAAGAACAGCAAACGCCGAUGAAGGAAAAGGGUCUUUGCAGUGAUGGGCGUUAACAGAGAGGGCGAUGGCCAGAGGACACAAAUGGGACGGGGAGGCAGCACGUUGGGGGGUGGGGGGGUGGGGGGGGGGAGACGCGACACGGCUCGGGCCCGCCAGUGCCCCAACGGGGUCCUAGUUAUUUUUCUGCCCCUUUGAACUGGAAAAUGGCCCACUUCCCACUGGUGAAAACUCAUGAAAUUUGGCAGGACGACCGGGCCUGGUGAAAAAUUCGAUAUUCUGAAGUCAUCCAAACAAUCAAAUGCAAAAUGGCUCCAUAGCGCCCCCUAAGGUGAAAAAUUCACAUGAUUGAGUGUCACGCCUGUACGCUUUGUCAAAAUGACACAAAAUUUGACACACACGUGUAUCUCAAUAAGAUCUACAAAAAAGUCAGUGCGGGCGUAUCUGUCAAAUGUACGGUUAAAGGGCUAUUUCGCAUUUUUUGCCGAUCCACACACAUUGGAAUUUCGCUAACUCCUCCGAAGGCUUUCGUUCCAAAGGCACCACAUUUGCUCAGGCCAAUCUACACCCCAUGGCCAUUAAAAGUUGUACAAAUCAUGACGCUGCACCCCACGGUUUACGUUCUAGGGGGCGCCAAAGAUAACCCAAAAAUCCACAGUCUUAAAAGUCUUAUAACUUUUUAUUUUUGUCCUCACUGGCCUCCAAGUUCUCUAGGAUGAUGCAAUGUCCAGCCAUCAACACAUUUGUGAAGGAAUUUUUACUCGCCAAAGAGCGCCCCCCCAUGGCAGGAGAAAAAAGUCCAUUUUUUCUUGUCUCCUAAGGCGAAAAUUCACACUAUUGAGUGUCACGCCUAUACGCUUUGUCAUAUUGACACAAAAAUUGACACACACAUGUAUCUCAAUAAGAUCUACAAAAAAGUCAGUGCGGGCGUAUCUGUCAAAUGUACGGUUAAAGGGCUAUUUCGCAUUUUUUGCCGAUCCGCACACAUUGGAAUUUCGCUAACUCCUCCGAAGGCUUUCGUUCCAAAGGCACCACAUUUGCUCAGGCCAAUCUACACCCCAUGGCCAUUAAAAGUUGUACAAAUCAUGACGCUGCACCCCACGGUUUACGUUCUAGGGGGCGCCAAAGAUAACCCAAAAAUCCACAGUCUUAAAAGUCUUAUAACUUUUUAUUUUUGUCCUCACUGGCCUCCAAGUUCUCUAGGAUGAUGCAAUGUCCAGCCAUCAACACAUUUGUGAAGGAAUUUUUACUCGCCAAAAGAGCGCCCCCCCAUGGCAGGAGAAAAAAGUCCAUUUUUUCUUGUCUCCUAAGGCGAAAAUACACAUUGUUGACUGUCACGCCUUUACGCUUUGUCAAAAUGACACAAAAUUUGACAAACACAUGUAUCUCAAUAAGAUCUACGAAAAAGUCAAUGUGAGCGUAUCUGUUCAAUGUACGGUUAAAGGGCUAUUUCGCAUUUUUGGCCGAUUCGCACACAUUGGAAUGUGGCUAACUCCUCCUAAAUCUUUUGUCCCAUCGGCUUCAAAUUUGCUCAGGUCAAUCUACACCCCAUGGCCAUUCAAAGUUGUACAAAUCAUGACACUGCACCCCACAGUUUACGUUCUAGGGGGCGCCAAAGAGGACCCAAAUAUCCACAUUUUUAAAAGUCUUAUAACUUUUUAUUUUUGUCCUCACUGGCCUCCAAGUUUUCUAGGAUGAUGCAAUGUCCAGCCAUCAACACAUUUGUGAAGGAAUUUUUUCUCCCCAAAAGAGCGCCCCCCCAUGGCAGGAGAAAAAGUCAAGUUUUCCUGCCCAUCGCUCAAUGGCUCAAACGCAUCGCUCUCUCGGCAAAACCGAAAGGAGGAGCAACUUGCCAUUUGGAUAUAUACUAGCUGUGUUUGUGCCCUCACUUAUGGUCCAGACUUUUUUCAAAAAGGACAUGGAGUUUGUCUGCAGCGAGCGUUUUGGUAGAAACUGCGCCUCCCAUUCAUUAUAAUGGUAAAUGACCACAGACAAGUGCGCACACCAUCUUUGGACCUUGAGUGUGACGCGAUCGGGAGGGGUAGGCGGUCGCGCUGGGGGCGGCACGACACGGCUCGGGCCCGCCAGUGCCCCAACGGGGCCCUAGUUAGGGCCCGAGCGUAGCUGCUAAGCAGCUGCGAGAGCCCUCUUGUUCCUGAUGGAUUCUUCUUUCGUUAUUUUUCCUCCGCUUUAAACUGGAAAAUGGCCCACUUCCCACUGGCGAAAACUCAGGAAAUUUGGCAGGACGACCGGGCCUGGUGAAAAAUUUGAUAUUCUGAAGUCGUCCAAACAAAAAAAUGAAAAAUGGCUCCAUAGCGCCCCCUAUGGUGAAAACUCACCUGAUGCCUGUACGCUUUGUCAAAAUGACACAAAAUUUGACACACAUGUGUAUUUCAAUAAGAUCUACGAAAAAGUCAGUGCGGGCGUAUCUGCCAAAUGUACGGUUAAAGGGCUAUUUCGCUUUUUUUGCCGAUCCGCACACAUUGGAAUUUCGCUAACUCCUCCGAAGGCUUUCGUUCCACCGGCACCACAUUUGCUCAGGCCAAUCUACACCCCAUGGCCAUUAAAAGUUGUACAAAUCAUGAUGCUGCACCCCACGGUUUACUUUCUAGGGGGCGCCAAAGAUAACACAAAAAUCCACAUUCUUAAAAGUCUUAUAACUUUUUAUUUUUGUCCUCACUGGCCUCCAAGUUUUCUAGGAUGAUGCAAUGUCCAGCCAUCAACACAUUUGUGAAGGAAUUUUUACUCCCCAAAAGAGCGCCCCCCCAUGGCAGGAGAAAAAAGUCCAUUUUUUCUUGUCUCCUAAGGUAAAAAUACACAUUGUUGAGUGUCACGCCUAUACACUUUGUCAUAUUGACACACAAUUUGACAAUCACGUGUAUCUCAAUAAGAUCUACAAAAAAGUCAAUAGGCACGUAUCUGUCAAAUGUAUGGUUAAAGGGCUAUUUCGCAUUUUUUGCCGAUUCGCACACAUUGGAAUGUGGCUAUCUCCUCCUAAGGCUUUCGUCCCACCGAUACCAAAUUUGCUCAGGGCAAUCUACACCCCAUGGCCAUUCAAAGUUGUAGAAAUCAUGACGCUGCACCCCACGGUUUACGUUCUAGGGGGCGCCAAAGAUGACCCAAAAAUCCACAUUCUUAAAAGUCAUUUUGGCCACUGCAGGAGUACAGAGUACUGCAGUUCUAGGGGGCGCCAAAGAUGACCCAAAAAUCCACAUUCUUAAAAGUCUUUUUGGCCACUGCAGGAGUACAGAGUACUGCCGGACACACACACAUAUACACACACGCCACACACACACACACACACACACACACACACACACACACACACACACACACACUCAGAGUCUGUUUUUUAGCACCUGCAAAAACAUGCUGUUUACAUAUUUGACAAGAAUGCAGAGGCUUCCUUUUGCCCCUGAAAAAAAUCAAAUUUCAAACACAACUUGACUGUUCAUUUCUCCAAAAGACAACCAUGAAGCUCCAUCCAAACCUGAAGCAGAUAGUUGGUGCAUGUGUACAGUAACCUGAGGAGAGUGAGGUGACUACUUCUGAGGAGAACAUGAGCAGUGAAGAUUCACCUUGGAGCUAGAACAGGGACGUGCACAUGAUUAUACAGGGGCAGGGGCUCAAGUUUUUUCCAGUCAUUUAUACAAUAUGGAAAUUAAUGUGAAAUUAAACCACAAAUAUGUGUGAUGAACUGUUUUUAAAACUUAAACUUCAAAUAAAAAUUGUAAACUUCAAAACAUAUGCAAAUUUUUAACAAAGAACAUAGUAAUUUACCUCUAUUUACAUCAAAAUGCAGGCAAUGGCCCAGGCGUUCUUUGUAAAAUUAUUUACAAAACACUGUAUAGUCUCACAAAUGUCACUUUUUAUUUAUGCCACUACAAAAAAACAUGAUGUAAAUGAUGCAUGAUGUAAAACAUGAUGUAAAAAACUUGUGUAGAUCCUCCUCUAUGUCAGUCCAUGUGUAAUUUUUCCAUAAUUCUUUGUUUUUUGCAGCAUUUUUGUUAGUGUAACUGCAGAUUGUGCUGACAGUGUCUAUGGCAAAAAAAAAAAAAAAACUGAAAAUGCCUCAACAUGAACUCCUGGUGGUCUCUGAGGGUGAAACCUGCUAACUGUGCAGCUCUCUCAGCUCUAGUCUCCCAUGCAGAGCUCGGAGCGCAUGUGUGGCUCUGCACCCUUAGCAGCGUUGCUAACUCCUCAGUAAGGAAAGCCUGCUUCAUGUCAGAGUCUCUAAACUCCAGAAGAAGUCGAUAAAAGUCCCUUUCUUUCUAAAAAAAAGUCGUUAGGGGGUCUGAAAAGUAAUUGAAUCUAACAACAAAGUCGCUAGGUUUGCAACUACGUGUCCCAGACUGCAUCCCUGCUGAGAGUCCCUCCCUCCCUUCUCAUGUUGCAGGAAGAACGUAAGCGCCCGCCCCUUGUCAAUCAGUCACCAUAUAAUUUUGGAUUGGUUGUUGUGGUGAAGUUUUCCACCAAUAGGAGAGAUGUUGUGGUGUGUUUUUUUUUUCUUUUGGCAUGCCUUUUCCGCCUGUAAGAGCUGUCGCUAAUGUCUGCAUGCUAUGUUUUCCUGUCUCAUACAGCGUGAUCGAGCGCCGAACGUGAUCAAAAUAAGCAGAAAAAAAGUAUCGCGGACAUAAUUUAUCAUAACUCUAGUUUUAUUUGGCCUAUCAACACAAUUUAAAAACUGGUAUAUAGUUUGAGGUCCUCACUUUUGAGAUAAGUUGAAACGGAGGGUGAACGAGGCUCCCUCUUGCAGCUACAUCCGGUUAAAUAUGUCAUGUGACUUGAACGCUGGGGAGCGUCAAUCGACUGCAGAGCCAGCAGACAAAGUAGUUAUGCCACUAAGAGGCACACAUUUGUCAUAUGCUAUAAUCCUAACAUAUUUUAAUGCUUUUUCUAUUUAAACCUAAUGGAUCUAAGGUUUGACCUUCAAAAUUUAGGAAGAAUAUUUUUUUGCAGUAAUGACCCCCUUAAACAACCAGAGGUCCUUUCCUAAAGAUUAUGGAAAUUUUAGUGAAGGCCUUGGUUUCUUUCCUUGCAAAAUGUAUAGAAAUAAUAAAGCUAAAUACCAUAAAAUGGUCUUGGCGUAUUAGCAGUGAUAUAAAAUAGUGGUUUGAAUAUGAAUGAACAACAAAAAAAAACAUCAACAGAGCCUUUUUGAGUUGGGAUUCUUUCAUUAUCACACAAAAACAGACAUAGACAGACAUCUAAAGGGUAAGGGAAUGAUCAGCCCUCCUAACUCUCAGAUGAAUCUUCAAAAUUCACCGCAGAAAUAUGCUUAUUAUUCUUCUCAGAGUACUGCAAGAUAUAUACAAACACACACAGACACACACACACACACACACACACACACACACACACACACACUCAGAGUCUGUUUUUUAGCACCUGCAAAAACAUGCUAUUUACAUAUUUGACAAGAAUGCAGAGGCUCCUUUUGCCCCUGAAAAAAAUCAAAUUUCAAACACAACUUGACUGCUCAUUUCUCCAAAAGACAACCAUGAAGCUCCAUCCAAACCUGAAGCAGGCAGUUGGUGCAUGUGUACAGUAACCUGAGGGGAGUGAGGUGACUGCUUCUGAGGAGAACAUGAGCAGUGAAGAUUCACCUUGGAGCUAGAACAGGGACGUGCACAUGAUUAUACAGGGGCAGGGGCUCAAGUUUUUUCCAGUCAUUUAUACAAUAUGGAAAUUAAUGUGAAAUUAAAAAACAAAGUAUUAAUAGAAAGGUAAUGACUGUCCUGUGUAGAUGACAGUGAUAUCCAAUAGGCUAGGCACUCACGAGGCUGGCUGUGGCAAGUGUAAGUGAAAGCAACACGCACUGGCAGGAAGAACAGCAAACGCCGAUGAAGGAAAAGGGUCUUUGCAGUGAUGGGCGUUACCAGAGAGGGCGAUGGCCAGAGGACACGAAUGGGACGGGGAGGCAGCGCGUUGGGGGGGGGGGCGGCGCGACACGGCUCGGGCCCGCCAGUGCCCCAACGGGGCCCUAGUUAGGGCCCGAGCGUAGCUGCUAAGCAGCUGCGAGAGCCCUCUUGUUCCUGUAGUUUCCUUCUUUUGUUAUUAUUAUUAUUAUUAUUAUUUUUCCUCCCCUUUGAACUGGAAAAUGGCCCACUUCCCACUGGCGAAAACUCAUGAAAUUUGGCAGGACGACCGGGCCUGGUGAAAAAUUUGAUAUUCCGAAGUCGCCCAAACCAGAAAAUUCAAAAUGGCUCCAUAGCGCCCCCUAAGGUGAAAAUUCACACUAUUCACUGUCACGCCUGUACGCUUUGUCAAAAUGACACAAAAAUUGACACACACAUGUAUCUCAAUAAGAUCUACAAAAAAGUCAGUGCGGGCGUAUCUGUCAAAUGUACGGUUAAAGGGUUAUUUCGCAUUUUUUGCCGAUCCGCACACAUUGGAAUUUCGCUAACUCCUCCGAAGGCUUUCGUUCCACCGGCACCACAUUUGCUCAGGCCAAUCUACACCCCAUGGCCAUUAAAAGUUAUUCAAAUCAUGACGCUGCACCCCACGGUUUAGGUUCUAGGGGGCGCCAAAGAUAACCCUAAGAUCCACAUAUUUAAAAGUCUUAUAACUUUUUAUUUUUGCCCUCACUGGCCUCCAAGUUUUCUAGGAUGAUGCAAUGUCCAGCCAUCAACACAUUUGUGAAGGAAUUUUUACUCCCCAAAAGAGCGCCCCCCCAUGGCAGGAGAAAAAAGUCCAUUUUUUCUUGUCCCCUAAGGUGAAAAUACACAUUGUUGAGUGUAACACCUGUACGCUUUGGCAAAAUGACACAAAAAUUGACACACACAUGUAUCUCAAUAAGAUCUACGAAAAAGUCAAUGCGCGCGUAUCUGUCAAAUGUACGGUUAAAGGGUUAUUCCGCAUUUUUUGCCGAUCCGCACACAUUGGAAUUUCGCUAACUCCUCCGAAGGCUUUCGUUCCACCGGCACCACAUUUGCUCAGGCCAAUCUACACCCCAUGGCCAUUAAAAGUUAUUCAAAUCAUGACGCUGCACCCCACGGUUUAGGUUCUAGGGGGAGCCAAAGAUAACCGUAAAAUCCACAUAUUUAAAAGUCUUAUAACUUUUUAUUUUUGUCCCCACUGGCCUCCAAGUUUUCUAGGAUGAUGCAAUGUCCAGCCAUCAACACAUUUGUGAAGGAAUUUUUACUCGGCAAAAGAGCGCCCCCCCAUGGCAGGAGAAAAAAGUCAAUUUUUUCUUGUCCACUAAGGUGAAAAUACACAUUGUUGAGUGCUACGCCUGUAUGUUUUGUCGUAUUGACACAAAAUUUUACAUACACGUGUAUUUCAAUAAGAUCUUCGAAAAAGUCAAUGGCCACGUAUCUGUAAAAUGUACGGUUAAAGGGUUAUUUCGCAUUUUUUGCCGAUCCGCACACAUUGGAAUUUCGCUAACUCCUCCGAAGGCUUUCGUUCCACCGGCACCACAUUUGCUCAGGCCAAUCUACACCCCAUGGCCAUUAAAAGUUAUUCAAAUCAUGACGCUGCACCCCACGGUUUAGGUUCUAGGGGGCGCCAAAGAUAACCCUAAGAUCCACAUAUUUAAAAGUCUUAUAACUUUUUAUUUUUGCCCUCACUGGCCUCCAAGUUUUCUAGGAUGAUGCAAUGUCCAGCCAUCAACACAUUUGUGAAGGAAUUUUUACUCCCCAAAAGAGCGCCCCCCCAUGGCAGGAGAAAAAAGUCCAUUUUUUCUUGUCCCCUAAGGUGAAAAUACACAUUGUUGAGUGUAACACCUGUACGCUUUGGCAAAAUGACACAAAAAUUGACACACACAUGUAUCUCAAUAAGAUCUACGAAAAAGUCAAUGCGCGCGUAUCUGUCAAAUGUACGGUUAAAGGGUUAUUCCGCAUUUUUUGCCGAUCCGCACACAUUGGAAUUUCGCUAACUCCUCCGAAGGCUUUCGUUCCACCGGCACCACAUUUGCUCAGGCCAAUCUACACCCCAUGGCCAUUAAAAGUUAUUCAAAUCAUGACGCUGCACCCCACGGUUUAGGUUCUAGGGGGAGCCAAAGAUAACCGUAAAAUCCACAUAUUUAAAAGUCUUAUAACUUUUUAUUUUUGUCCCCACUGGCCUCCAAGUUUUCUAGGAUGAUGCAAUGUCCAGCCAUCAACACAUUUGUGAAGGAAUUUUUACUCGGCAAAAGAGCGCCCCCCCAUGGCAGGAGAAAAAAGUCAAUUUUUUCUUGUCCACUAAGGUGAAAAUACACAUUGUUGAGUGCUACGCCUGUAUGUUUUGUCGUAUUGACACAAAAUUUUACAUACACGUGUAUUUCAAUAAGAUCUUCGAAAAAGUCAAUGGCCACGUAUCUGUAAAAUGUACGGUUAAAGGGUUAUUUCGCAUUUUUUGCAGAUUCGCACACAUUGGAAUUUCGCUAAUUCCUCCGAAGGCUUUCGUUCCACCGGCACCACAUUUGCUCAGGCCAAUCUACACCCCAUGGCCAUUAAAAGUUAUUCAAAUCAUGACGCUGCACCCCACGGUUUAGGUUCUAGGGGGCGCCAAAUAUAACCCUAAAAUCCACAUAUUUAAAAGUCUUAUAACUUUUUAUUUUUGUCCUCACUGGCCUCCAUGUUUUCUAGGAUGAUGCAAUGUCCAGCCAUCAACACAUUUGUGAAGGAGUUUUUUCUCUUUAAAAGAGCGCCCCCCAUGGCAGGAGAAUAAAGUCAAGUUUUUCCUGUUCAUCAUUCAAUGGCUCAAACGCACUGCUCUCUCGGCAAAAGCGAAAGGAGGAGCAACUUGCCAUUUGGAUAUAUCUUAGCUGUGUUUGUGCCCUCACUCAUGGUCCAGACUUUUUUCAAAUAGGACAUGGAGUUUUUCUGCAGCGAGCGUUUUGGUAGAAACUGCGCCUCCCGUUCAUUAUAAUGGUAAAUGACCACAAACAAGUGCGCACACCAUCUUUGGACCUUGAGUGUGACGCGAUCGGGUGGGGGAGGCGGUCGCGCUGGGGGCGGCGUGACACGGCUCGGGCCCGCCAGUGCCCCAACGGGGCCCUAGUUCUUUCUUUCUUUCUUCUUUUUCCUCCCCUUUGAACUGGAAAAUGGCCCACUUCCCACUGGCGAAAACUCAUGAAAUUUGGCAGGACGAUCGGGCCUGGUGAAAAAUUCGAUAUUCUGAAGUCGCCCAAACAAUAAAAUGCAAAAUGGCUCCAUAGCGCCCCCUAAGGUGGAAAUUCACACUAUUGACUGUCACGCCUGUACGCUUUGUCAUAUUGACACAAAAAUUGACACACAUAUGUAUCUCAAUAAGAUCUACAAAAAAGUCAGUGCGGCCGUAUCUGUCAAAAUUACGGUUAAAGGGUUAUUUUGCAUUUUUUGCCGAUCCGCACACAUUGGAAUUUCGCUUACUCCUCCGAAGGCUUUCGUUCCACCGGCACCACAUUUGCUCAGGCCAAUCUACACCCCGUGGCCAUUAAAAGUUAUCAAAAUCAUGACGCUGCACCCCAAGGUUUAGGUUCUAGGGGGCGCCAAAGAUAACACUAAAAUCCACAUAUUUAAAAGUCUUAUAACUUUUUAUUUUUGUCCUCACUGGCCUCCAAGUUUUCUAGGAUGAUGCAAUGUCCAGCCAUCAACACAUUUGUGAAGGAAUUUUUACUCACCAAAAGAGCGCCCCCCCAUGGCAGGAGAAAAAAGUCCAUUUUUUCUUGUCCCCUAAGGUGAAAAUACACAUCGUUGAGAUUCACGCCUAUACGCUUUGUCAAAAUGACACAAAAAUUGACACACACAUGUAACUCAAUAAGAUCUACGAAAAAGUCAACGCGCGCGUAUCUGUCAAAUGUACGGUUAAAGGGUUAUUCCGCAUUUUUUGCCGAUCCGCACACAUUGGAAUGUGGCUAACUCCUCCUAAGGCUUUCGUUCCACCGGCACCACAUUUGCUCAGGCCAAUCUACACCCCAUGGCCAUUAAAAGUUGUACAAAUCAUGACGCUGCACCCCACGGUUUAGGUUCUAGGGGGCGCCAAAGAUAACCCUAAAAUCCACAUAUUUAAAAGUCUUAUAACUUUUUAUUUUUGUCCUCACUGGCCUCCAAGUUUUCUAGGAUGAUGCAAUGUCCAGCCAUCAACACAUUUGUGAAGGAAUUUUUACUCCCCAAAAGAGCGCCCCCCCAUGGCAGGAGAAAAAAGUCAAUUUUUUCUUGUCCCCUAAGGUGAAAAUACAUAUUGUUGAGAUUCACGCCUAUACGCUUUGUCAUAUUGACACAAAAUUUGACAAUCACGUGCCUUGCCUGGUAUCAUUUUUUUCAGCACAACCUCACCUGUGCGAAUUUACAGUUAUUUUAUCAUGUUGACAUACUGAAUUUACACAAUGGACCCAAAUUCACACACAAAACAUAAAAUCCGAGUGGAAAAAAGUAACAUUUUUACUGUGAAAACCACAAAUAUGUGUGAUGAACUGUUUUUAAAACUUAAACUUCAAAUAAAAAUUGUAAACUUCAAAACAUAUGCAAAUUUUUAACAAAGAACAUAGUGAUUUACCUCUAUUUACAUCAAAAUGCAGGCAAUGGCCCAGGCGUUCUUUGUAAAAUUAUUUACAAAACACUGUAAAGUCUCACAAAUGUCACUUUUUAUUUAUGCCACUACAAAAAAACAUGAUGUAAAUGAUGCAUGAUGUAAAACAUGAUGUAAAAAACUUGUGUAGAUCCUCCUCUAUGUCAGUCCAUGUGUAAUUUUUCCAUAAUUCUUUGUUUUUUGCAGCAUUUUUGUUAGUGUAACUGCAGAUUGUGCUGACAGUGUCUAUGGCACAAAAAAAAAAAAAAAAUUAAAAUGCCUCAACAUGAACCCCUGGUGGUCUCUGAGGGUGAAACCUGCUAACUGCUGCAGCUCUGUGAGGUUCAGUUUCCCAUGCAGAGCUCUGAGCGCAUGUGUGGCUCUGCACCCUUAGCAGCGUUGCUAACUCCUCAGUAAGGAAAGCCUGCUUCAUGUCAGAGUCUCUAAACUCCAGAAGAAGUCGAUAAAAGUCCCUUUCUUUCUAAAAAAAAGUCGUUAGGGGGUCUGAAAAGUCAUUGAAUCUAACAACAAAGUCGCUAGGUUUGCAACUACGUGUCCCAGACUGCAUCCCUGCUGAGAGUCCCUCCCUCCCUUCUCAUGUUGCAGGAAGAACGUAAGCGCCCGCCCCUUGUCAAUCAGUCACCAUAUAAUUUUGGAUUGGUUGUUGUGGUCAAGUUUUCCACCAAUAGGAGAGAUGUUGUGUGUUUUUUUUUUCUUUUGGCAAGCCUUUUCCGCCUGUAAGACCUGUCGCUAAUGUCUGCAUGCUAUGUUUUCCUGUCUCAUACAGCGCGAUCGAGCGCCGAACGUGAUCAAAAUAAGCAGAAAAAAAGUAUCGCGGACAUAAUUUAUCAUAACUCUGGUUUUAUUUGGCCUAUCAACACAAUUUAAAAACUGGUAUAUAGGUUGAGGUCCUCACUUUUGAGAUAAGUUGAAACGGAGAGUCAACGAGGCUCCGUCUUGCAGCUACAUCCGGUUAAAUAUGUCAUGUGACUUGAACGCACACACAGACACACACACACGCACACACACACACACACACACACACACACACACACACACACACACACACACACACACACACACUCAGAGUCUGGUUUUUAGCACCUGCAAAAACAUGCUAUUUACAUAUUUGACAAGAAUGCAGAGGCUCCUUUUGCCCCUGAAAAAAAUCAAAUUUCAAACACAACUUGACUGGUCAUUUCUCCAAAAGACAACCAUGAAGCUCCAUCCAAACCUGAAGCAGGCAGUUGGUGCAUGUGUACAGUAACCUGAGGGGAGUGAGGUGAGUGCUUCUGAGGAGAACAUGAGCAGUGAAGAUUCACCUUGGAGCUAGAACAGAGACAUGCACAUGAUUAUACAGGGGCAGGGGCUCAAGUUUUUUCCAGUCGUUUAUACAAUAUGAAAAUUAAUGUGAAAUUAAAACACAAAGUAUUAAUAGAAAGGUAAUGACUGUCCUGUGUAGGUGACAGUGAUAUCCAAUAGGCUAGGCACUCACGAGGCUGGCUGUGGCAAGUGUAAGUGAAAGCAACACGCACUGGCAGGAAGAACAGCAAACGCCGAUGAAGGAAAAGGGUCUUUGCAGUGAUGGGCGUUACCAGAGAGGGCGAUGGCCAGAGGACACGAAUGGGACGGGGAGGCAGCGCGUUGGGGGGGGGGGGGGUGCGACACGGCUCGGGCCCGCCAGUGCCCCAACGGGGUCCUAGUGUUAUUAUUAGGGCCCGAGCGUAGCUGCUAAGCAGCUGCGAGAGCCCUAUUAUUCCCCAAGUGGUUUUUUAGGGCCCGAGCGUAGCUGCUAAGCAGCUGCGAGAGCCCUAUUAUUCCCCAAGUGGUUUUUCUUUGUUUCUUUCUUUCUUUAGGGCCCGAGCGUAGCUGCUAAGCAGCUGCGAGAGCCCUAUUAUUCCCCAAGUGGUUUUUCUUUGUUUCUUUUUUCUUUUUCCUCCCCUUUGAACUGGAAAAUGGCCCACUUCCCACUGGCGAAAACUCAUGAAAUUUGGCAGGACGACCGGGCCUGGUGAAAAAUUUGAUAUUCCGAAGUCGCCCAAACAAUAAAAUGCAAAAUGGCUCCAUAGCGCCCCCUAAGGUGAAAAUUCACAUGACGGCUGUACGCUUUGUCAUAUUGACACAAAAUUUGACACACACAUGUAUCUCAAUAAGAUCUACAAAAAAGUCAGUGCGGGCGUAUCUGUCAAAUGUACGGUUAAUGGGUUAUUUUGCAUUUUUUGCAGAUCUGCACACAUUGGAAUUUCGCUAACUCCUCCGAAGGCUUUCGUUCCACCGGCACCACAUUUGCUCAGGCCAAUCUACACCCCAUGGCCAUUAAAAGUUAUUCAAAUCAUGACGCUGCACCCCACGGUUUAGGUUCUAGGGGGCGCCAAAAAUAACCCUAAAAUCCACAUAUUUAAAAGUCUUAUAACUUUUUAUUUUUGUCCUCACUGGCCUCCAAGUUUUCUAGGAUGAUGCAAUGUCCAGCCAUCAACACAUUUGUGAAGGAAUUUUUACUCCCCAAAAGAGCGCCCCCCCAUGGCAGGAGAAAAAAGUCCAUUUUUUCUUGUCCCCUAAGGUGAAAAUACAUAUUGUUGAGAUUCACGCCUAUACGCUUUGUCAUAUUGACACAAGAUUUGACAAUCACGUGCCUUGCCUGGUAUCAUUUUUUUCAGCACAACCUCACCUGUGCGAAUUUACAGUUAUUUUAUCAUGUUGACAUACUGAAUUUACACAAUGGACCCAAAUUCACACACAAAACAUAAAAUCCGAGUGGAAAAAAGUAACAUUUUUACUGUGAAAACCACAAAUAUGUGUGAUGAACUGUUUUUAAAACUUAAACUUCAAAUAAAAAUUGUAAACUUCAAAACAUAUGCAAAUUUUUAACAAAGAACAUAGUGAUUUACCUCUAUUUACAUCAAAAUGCAGGCAAUGGCCCAGGCGUUCUUUGUAAAAUUAUUUACAAAACACUGUAUAGUCUCACAAAUGUCACUUUUUAUUUAUGCCACUACAAAAAAACAUGAUGUAAAUGAUGCAUGAUGUAAAACAUGAUGUAAAAAACUUGUGUAGAUCCUCCUCUAUGUCAGUCCAUGUGUAAUUUUUCCAUAAUUCUUUGUUUUUUGCAGCAUUUUUGUUAGUGUAACUGCAGAUUGUGCUGACAGUGUCUAUGGCACAAAAAAAAAAAAAAAUUUAAAAUGCCUCAACAUGAACCACUGGUGGUCUAUUAGGGUGAAACCUGCUAACUGCUGCAGCUCUGUCAGCUUCAGUCUCCCAUGCAGAGCUCUGAGCGCAUGUGUGGCUCUGCACCCUUAGCAGCGUUGCUAACUCCUCAGUAAGGAAAGCCUGCUUCAUGUCAGAGUCUCUAAACUCCAGAAGAAGUCGAUAAAAGUCCCUUUCUUUCUAAAAAAAGUCGUUAGGGGGUCUGAAAAGUCAUUGAAUCUAACAACAAAGUCGCUAGGUUUGCAACUACGUGUCCCAGACUGCAUCCCUGCUGAGAGUCCCUCCCUCGCUUCUCAUGUUGCAGGAAGAACGUAAGCGCCCGCCCCUUGUCAAUCAGUCACCAUAUAAUUUUGGAUUGGUUGUUGUGGUGAAGUUUUCCACCAAUAGGAGAGAUGUUGUGGUGUGUUUUUUUUUUCUUUUGGCAAGCCUUUUCCGCCUGUAAGACCUGUCGCUAAUGUCUGCAUGCUAUGUCUUCCUGUCUCAUACAGCGCGAUCGAGCGCCGAACGUGAUCAAAAUAAGCAGAAAAAAAGUAUCGCGGACAUAAUUUAUCAUAACUCUGGUUUUAUUUGGCCUAUCAACACAAUUUAAAAACUGGUAUAUAGGUUGAGGUCCUCACUUUUGAGAUAAGUUGAAACGGAGAGUCAACGAGGCUCCGUCUUGCAGCUACAUCCGGUUAAAUAUGUCAUGUGACUUGAACGCACACACAGACACACACACACGCACACACACACACACACACACACACACUCAGAGUCUGGUUUUUAGCACCUGCAAAAACAUGCUAUUUACAUAUUUGACAAGAAUGCAGAGGCUCCUUUUGCCCCUGAAAAAAAUCAAAUUUCAAACACAACUUGACUGGUCAUUUCUCCAAAAGACAACCAUGAAGCUCCAUCCAAACCUGAAGCAGGUAGUUGGUGCAUGUGCACAGUAACCUGAGGGGAGUGAGGUGAGUGCUUCUGAGGAGAACAUGAGCUGUGAAGAUUCACCUUGGAGCUAGAACAGAGACAUGCACAUGAUUAUACAGGGGCAGGGGCUCAAGUUUUUUCCAGUCGUUUAUACAAUAUGGAAAUUAAUGUGAAAUUAAAACACAAAGUAUUAAUAGAAAGGUAAUGACUGUCCUGUGUAGGUGACAGUGAUAUCCAAUAGGCUAGGCACUCACGAGGCUGGCUGUGGCAAGUGUAAGUGAAAGCAACACGCACUGGCAAGAAGAACAGCAAACGCCGAUGAAGGAAAAGGGUCUUUGCAGUGAUGGGCGUUACCAGAGAGGGCGAUGGCCAGAGGACACAAAUGGGACGGGGAGGCAGCACGUUUGGGGGGGGGACGCGACACGGCUCGGGCCCGCCAGUGCCCCAACGGGGUCCUAGUUAGGGCCCGAGCGUAGCUGCUAAGCAGCUGCGAGAGCCCUCUUGUUCCUGUAGUUUCCUUCUUUUGUUAGGGCCCGAGCCAGCUGCAGAGCAGCCGGGCGUAGGCCCUAUUAUUCCCCAAGUGGUUUUUCUUUGUUUCUUUCUUUCUUUCUUUAGGGCCCGAGCCAGCUGCAGAGCAGCCGGGCGUAGGCCCUGUUAUUCCUGUAGGGGUUUUUCUUUGUUAGGGCCCGAGCGUAGCUGCUAAGCAGCUGCGAGAGCCCUAUUAUUCCCCAAGUGGUUUUUCUUUGUUUCUUUCUUUCUUUCUUUCUUUCUUUCUUCUUUUUCCUCCCCUUUGAACUGGAAAAUGGCCCACUUCCCACUGGCGAAAACUCAUGAAAUUUGGCAGGACGACCGGGCCUGGUGAAAAAUUCGAUAUUCUGAAGUCACCCAAACAAUAAAAUGCAAAAUGGCUCCAUAGCGCCCCCUAAGGUGGAAAUUCACACUAUUGACUGUCACGCCUGUACGCUUUGUCAUAUUGACACAAAAAUUGACACACAUAUGUAUCUCAAUAAGAUCUACAAAAAAGUCAGUGCGGCCGUAUCUGUCAAAAUUACGGUUAAAGGGUUAUUUUGCAUUUUUUGCCGAUCCGCACACAUUGGAAUUUCGCUAACUCCUCCGAAGGCUUUCGUUCCACCGGCACCACAUUUGCUCAGGCCAAUCUACACCCCGUGGCCAUUAAAAGUUAUCAAAAUCAUGACGCUGCACCCCAAGGUUUAGGUUCUAGGGGGCGCCAAAGAUAACACUAAAAUCCACAUAUUUAAAAGUCUUAUAACUUUUUAUUUUUGUCCUCACUGGCCUCCAAGUUUUCUAGGAUGAUGCAAUGUCCAGCCAUCAACACAUUUGUGAAGGAAUUUUUACUCCCCAAAAGAGCGCCCCCCCAUGGCAGGAGAAAAAAGUCCAUUUUUUCUUGUCCCCUAAGGUGAAAAUACACAUUGUUGAGUGUCACGCCUAUACGCUUUGUCAUAUUGACACAAAAAUUGACACACAUAUGUAUCUCAAUAAGAUCUACAAAAAAGUCAGUGCGGCCGUAUCUGUCAAAAUUACGGUUAAAGGGUUAUUUUGCAUUUUUUGCCGAUCCGCACACAUUGGAAUUUCGCUAACUCCUCCGAAGGCUUUCGUUCCACCGGCACCACAUUUGCUCAGGCCAAUCUACACCCCGUGGCCAUUAAAAGUUAUCAAAAUCAUGACGCUGCACCCCAAGGUUUAGGUUCUAGGGGGCGCCAAAGAUAACACUAAAAUCCACAUAUUUAAAAGUCUUAUAACUUUUUAUUUUUGUCCUCACUGGCCUCCAAGUUUUCUAGGAUGAUGCAAUGUCCAGCCAUCAACACAUUUGUGAAGGAAUUUUUACUCCCCAAAAGAGCGCCCCCCCAUGGCAGGAGAAAAAAGUCCAUUUUUUCUUGUCCCCUAAGGUGAAAAUACACAUUGUUGAGUGUCACGCCUAUACGCUUUGUCAUAUUGACACAAAAUUUGACAAUCACGUGCCUUGCCUGGUAUCAUUUUUUUUCAGCACAAUCUCACCUGUGCGAAUUUACAGUUAUUUUAUCAUGUUGACAUACUGAAUUUACACAAUGGACCCAAAUUCACACACAAAACAUAAAAUCCGAGUGGAAAAAUGUAACAUUUUUACUGUGAAAACCACAAAUAUGUGUGAUGAACUGUUUUUAAAACUUAAACUUCAAAUAAAAAUUGUAAACUUCAAAACAUAUGCAAAUUUUUAACAAAGAACAUAGUGAUUUACCUCUAUUUACAUCAAAAUGCAGGCAAUGGCCCAGGCGUUCUUUGUAAAAUUAUUUACAAAACACUGUAUAGUUUCACAAAUGUCACUUUUUAUUUAUGCCACUACAAAAAAACAUGAUGUAAAUGAUGCAUGAUGUAAAACAUGAUGUAAAAAACUUGUGUAGAUCCUCCUCUAUGUCAGUCCAUGUGUAAUUUUUCCAUAAUUCUUUGUUUUUUGCAGCAUUUUUGUUAGUGUAACUGCAGAUUGUGCUGACAGUGUCUAUGGCACAAAAAAAAAAAAAAAUUUAAAAUGCCUCAACAUGAACCACUGGUGGUCUAUUAGGGUGAAACCUGCUAACUGCUGCAGCUCUGUCAGCUUCAGUCUCCCAUGCAGAGCUCUGAGCGCAUGUGUGGCUCUGCACCCUUAGCAGCGUUGCUAACUCCUCAGUAAGGAAAGCCUGCUUCAUGUCAGAGUCUCUGAACUCCAGAAGAAGUCGAUAAAAGUCCCUUUCUUUCUAAAAAAAAGUCGUUAGGGGGUCUGAAAAGUCAUUGAAUCUAACAACAAAGUCGCUAGGUUUGCAACUACGUGUCCCAGACUGCAUCCCUGCUGAGAGUCCCUCCCUCCCUUCUCAUGUUGCAGGAAGAACGUAAGCGCCCGCCCCUUGUCAAUCAGUCACCAUAUAAUUUUGGAUUGGUUGUUGUGGUGAAGUUUUCCACCAAUAGGAGAGAUGUUGUGGUGUGUUUUUUUUUUCUUUUGGCAAGCCUUUUCCGCCUUUAAGACCUGUCGCUAAUGUCUGCAUGCUAUGUUUUCCUGUCUCAUACAGUGCGAUCGAGCGCCGAACGUGAUCAAAAUAAGCAGAAAAAAAGUAUCGCGGACAUAAUUUAUCAUAACUCUGGUUUUAUUUGGCCUAUCAACACAAUUUAAAAACUGGUAUAUAGGUUGAGGUCCUCACUUUUGAGAUAAGUUGAAACGGAGAGUCAACGAGGCUCCGUCUUGCAGCUACAUCCGGUUAAAUAUGUCAUGUGACUUUAACGCACACACAGACACACACACACGCACACACACACACACACACACACACACACACACACACACACACACACACACACACACACACUCAGAGUCUGGUUUUUAGCACCUGCAAAAACAUGCUAUUUACAUAUUUGACAAGAAUGCAGAGGCUCCUUUUGCCCCUGAAAAAAAUCAAAUUUCAAACACAACUUGACUGGUCAUUUCUCCAAAAGACAACCAUGAAGCUCCAUCCAAACCUGAAGCAGGCAGUUGGUGCAUGUGUACAGUAACCUGAGGGGAGUGAGGUGAGUGCUUCUGAGGAGAACAUGAGCAGUGAAGAUUCACCUUGGAGCUAGAACAGAGACAUGCACAUGAUUAUACAGGGGCAGGGGCUCAAGUUUUUUCCGGGUCGUUUAUACAAUAUGGAAAUUAAUGUGAAAUUAAAACACAAAGUAUUAAUAGAAAGGUAAUGACUGUCCUGUGUAGGUGACAGUGAUAUCCAAUAGGCUAGGCACUCACGAGGCUGGCUGUGGUAAGUGUAAGUGAAAGCAACACGCACUGGCAAGAAGAACAGCAAACGCCGAUGAAGGAAAAGGGUCUUUGCAGUGAUGGGCGUUACCAGAGAGGGCGAUGGCCAGAGGACACAAAUGGGACAGGGAGGCAGCACGUUGGGAGGGGGACGCGACACGGCUCGGGCCCGCCAGUGCCCCAACGGGGUCCUAGUUUCUUUCUUUCUUCUUUUUCCUCCCCUUUGAACUGGAAAAUGGCCCACUUCCCACUGGCGAAAACUCAGGAAAUUUGGCAGGACGACCGGGCCUGGUGAAAAAUUUGAUAUUCCGAAGUCGCCCAAACAAGAAAAUGCAAAAUGGCUCCAUAGCGCCCCCUAAGGUGAAAAUUCACACUAUUGACUGUCACGCCUGUACGCUUUGUCAAAAUGACACAAAAAUUGACACACACAUGUAUCUCAAUAAGAUCUACAAAAAAGUCAGUGCGGGCGUAUCUGUCAAAUGUACGGUUAAAGGGUUAUUUCGCAUUUUUUGCCGAUCCGCACACAUUGGAAUUUCGCUAACUCCUCCGAAGGCUUUCGUUCCACCGGCACCACAUUUGCUCAGGCCAAUCUACACCCCGUGGCCAUUAAAAGUUAUCAAAAUCAUGACGCUGCACCCCAAGGUUUAGGUUCUAGGGGGCGCCAAAGAUAACACUAAAAUCCACAUAUUUAAAAGUCUUAUAACUUUUUAUUUUUGUCCUCACUGGCCUCCAAGUUUUCUAGGAUGAUGCAAUGUCCAGCCAUCAACACAUUUGUGAAGGAAUUUUUACUCCCCAAAAGAGCGCCCCCCCAUGGCAGGAGAAAAAAGUCCAUUUUUUCUUGUCCCCUAAGGUGAAAAUACACAUUGUUGAGUGUCACGCCUAUACGCUUUGUCAAAAUGACACAAAAAUUGACACACACAUGUAACUCAAUAAGAUCUACGAAAAAGUCAAUGCGCGCGUAUCUGUCAAAUGUACGGUUAAAGGGUUAUUCCGCAUUUUUUGCCGAUUCGCACACAUUGGAAUUUCGCUAACUCCUCCGAAGGCUUUCGUUCCACCGGCACCACAUUUGCUCAGGCCAAUCUACACCCCAUGGCCAUUAAAAGUUAUUCAAAUCAUGACGCUGCACCCCACGGUUUACGUUCUAGGGGGCGCCAAAGAUAACCCAAAAAUCCACAUUUUUAAAAGUCUUAUAACUUUUUAUUUUUGUCCUCACUGGCCUCCAAGUUUUCUAGGAUGAUGCAAUGUCCAGCCAUCAACACAUUUGUGAAGGAAUUUUUACUCCCCAAAAGAGCGCCCCCCCAUGGCAGGAGAAAAAAGUCCAUUUUUUCUUGUCCCCUAAGUUGAAAAUACACAUUGUUGACUGUCACGCCUGUACGCUUUGGCAAAAUGACACAAAAAUUGACAAUCAUGUGUAUCUCAAUUAGAUCUACGAAAAAGUCAAAGAGCGCGUAUCUGUAUAAUGUACGGUAAAAGGGCUAUUUUGCAUUUUUUGCCGAUUCGCACACAUUGGAAUGUGGCUAACUCCUCCUAAGGCUUUCGUCCCACUGACACCAAAUUUGCUCAGGCCAAUCUACACUCCAUGGCCAUUCAAAGUUGUAAAAAUCAUGACGCUGCACCCCACGGUUUACGUUUUAGGGGGCGCCAAAGAUGACCCAAAUAUACAUUACAGUAGACAAAGUAGUUUUGCCCACUGAGUGGCGCCAAAGGGACUUGUCUGUGGAGUCUGUGAGUCACUAUUGGCCGUUUUUGACUACUUUAGAUUUUACCUUUAUAUUUCCUCUUACAAAAUUUUUACCUUGCCUUGCCUGGUAUCAUUUUUUUCAGCACAACCUCACCUGUGUCAAUUUACAGUUAUUUUAUCAUUUUGACAUACUAUAUUUACACAUUGGACCCAAAUUCACACACAAAACAUAAAAUCCGAGUGGAAAAAAGUAACGUUUUUACUGUGAAAACCACAAAUAUGUGUGAUGAACUGUUUUUAAAACUUAAACUUCAAAUAAAAAUUGUAAACUUCAAAACAUAUGCAAAUUUUUAACAAAGAACAUAGUAAUUUACCUCUAUUUACAUCAAAAUGCAGGCAAUGGCCCAGGUGUUCUUUGUAAAAUUAUUUACAAAACACUGUAAAGUCUCACAAAUGUCACUUUUUAUUUAUGCCACUACAAAAAAACAUGAUGUAAAUGAUGCAUGAUGUAAAACAUGAUGUAAAAAACUUGUGUAGAUCCUCCUCUAUGUUAGUCCAUGUGUAAUUUUUCCAUAAUUCUUUGUUUUUUGCAGCAUUUUUGUUAGUGUAACUGCAGAUUGUGCUGACAGUGUCUAUGGCACAAAAAAAAAAAAACUGAAAAUGCCUCAACAUGAACCCCUGGUGGUCUCUGAGGGUGAAACCUGCUAACUGCUGCAGCUCUGUCAGCUUCAGUCUCCCAUGCAGAGCUCUGAGCACAUGUGUGGCUCUGCACCCUUAGCAGCGUUGCUAACUCCUCAGUAAGGAAAGCCUGCUUCAUGUCAGAGUCUCUAAACUCCAGAAGAAGUCGAUAAAAGUCACUUUCUUUCUAAAAAAAAGUCGUUAGGGGGUCUGAAAAGUCAUUGAAUCUAACAACAAAGUCGCUAGGUUUGCAACUACGUGUCCCAGACUGCAUCCCUGCUGAGAGUCCCUCCCUCCCUUCUCAUGUUGCAGGAAGAACGUAAGCGCCCGCCCCUUGUCAAUCAGUCACCAUAUAAUUUUGGAUUGGUUGUUGUGGUGAAGUUUUCCACCAAUAGGAGAGAUGUUGUGGUGUGUUUUUUUUUCUUUUGGCAAGCCUUUUCCGCCUGUAAGACCUGUCGCUAAUGUCUGCAUGCUAUGUUUUCCUGUCUCAUACAGCGCGGUCGAGCGCCAAACGUGAUCAAAAUAAGCAGAAGAAAAGUAUCGCGGACAUAAUUUAUCAUAACUCUGGUUUUAUUUGGCCUAUCAACACAAUUUAAAAACUGGUAUAUAGGUUGAGGUCCUCACUUUUGAGAUAAGUUGAAACGGAGAGUCAACGAGGCUCCGUCUUGCAGCUACAUCCGGUUAAAUAUGUCAUGUGACUUGAACGCACACACAGACACACACACGCACACACACACACACACACACACACACACACACACACACACACACACACACACUCAGAGUCUGGUUUUUAGCACCUGCAAAAACAUGCUAUUUACAUAUUUGACAAGAAUGCAGAGGCUCCUUUUGCCCCUGAAAAAAAUCAAAUUUCAAACACAACUUGACUGGUCAUUUCUCCAAAAGACAACCAUGAAGCUCCAUCCAAACCUGAAGCAGGCAGUUGGUGCAUGCAGUAGCGGUUCGAGGCACGGGCGAACAGGGCAGCCGCCCGGGGCGGCAUUUGUGUUAUGACUCAUGGGGGGCGGCACGAGCACUUCUAAAAAAUAAAAUAAAAGAUAAUGAUAAUAAAUCUUAACCGCAAAGAGGUUUUGUAUCAACUCUUGUUGUCAAAUUGGCGCCCCCCCCCCCCCCCCCCGCUGCUGUAGGCGCCCCUGCUUGCUCCGAAGGUGCUGCACAGAGGCUGACAGACUGUGUGAGAUGAGGUGGGGAGAGAGUCGCGGGGGCGACAGCUCUCCUCUGUGUACGCAUGUCAGCAUAUCAGCGGGAGCGCGGCUGCGCAUUUUUACUCUGCCGGGAGCGCGGACACGUCAUUUUGUAACAUUCUGUAGUUUUUUAAUCAUUUCUGGAGUCUUGGUGAAUGAAAUCACCGUACCCGUCUGCCUUUGAUAGGCGAAUAAAGCGCUCGGGUUCAUGCUCGGAUCUUGCUACGUGCUUGAUGAGCUUCAUGAGUGAAGUAAACAAUGACGGAGGCAGAGAGCAGCUUAAGAGGAGAAACAUCCAGCAGUGUGAACAAACUCUUCAUAUAGAGUGCUUUGGCUCACACUAUCAGUGUUUUCUGUGAGUGUUGAAUGACUUUGGGUGAGAACAGAGAUAAACACACUGUCAGCCACGUAUUUAUUUAUUCAUUUUUUAGUUUUUAGUUCUGCUUUUGUACUGGCACUAUACUGGGGCAGCUGUAUACCCUUUCAACACCUUAUUUUCUAUAUUUACAUUUGUAUUGAAUGGACACUUUAUCAUGACUGCCACUUUAUUUUACAGAAAGCAAAUUAUUUGUCAUUCUCCAGUGCAGAGCCUUUACUUUUAUUUAUACAGCCGCUUCAUUUCAUUUAAGUUUGUUUGUUCAAGGUUUUCAAAAAUGUGAUGAAGGUUCGCAAAACUAAAAGAGAGCUUUCUUGAAAGCCACAUGUAUAAGCUCUCAAAUACUUUUUCAAUUUUGUUUCUAUCUACUACAGAGGCCGAGAUAGCAGCUUUUUUGUAAACCUUAACACGUCAGAAAAGCUCAGGAUCUGGGGGCCCUUCUCAAAAUGGCCCUCAGGAUUGUGUUUUUUUCUAUUGAAGGAUUUCUGCAAUUGAGAAAUUAUUUUUGUUGUUAUAAUCAUAAAAAUACUACAUAAUAAUACAAAACUCUCUUUUUGUGUUUGUGUGUUGGGGGGGGGGGGGCAGGCACUUGGAGGGGUGCUCGCCCGGGGAGUAAUUUGGUCUAGAACCGCCACUGGGUGCAUGUGUACAGUAACCUGAGGGGAGUGAGGUGAGUGCUUCUGAGGAGAACAUGAGCAGUGAAGAUUCACCUUGGAGCUAGAACAGAGACAUGCACAUGAUCAUACAGGGGCAGGGGCUCAAGUUUUUUCCAGUCGUUUAUACAAUAUGGAAAUUAAUGUGAAAUUAAAACACAAAGUAUUAAUAGAAAGGUAAUGACUGUCCUGUGUAGGUGACAGUGAUAUCCAAUAGGCUAGGCACUCACGAGGCUGGCUGUGGCAAGUGUAAGUGAAAGCAACAUGCACUGGCAGGAUGAACAGCAAACGCCGAUGAAGGAAAAGGGUCUUUGCAGUGAUGGGCGUUACCAGAGAGGGCGAUGGCCAGAGGACACAAAUGGGACGGGGAGGCAGCACGUUGGGGGGGGGACGCGACACGGCUCGGGCCCGCCAGUGCCCCAACGGGGUCCUAGUUAGGGCCCGAGCGUAGCUGCUAAGCAGCUGCGAGAGCCCUAUUAUUCCCCAAGUGGUUUUUCUUUGUUUCUUUCUUUCUUUAGGGCCCGAGCGUAGCUGCUAAGCAGCUGCGAGAGCCCUCUUGUUCCUGCAUGUUUCCUUCUUUCGUUAUUAUUUUUCCUCCGCUUUAAACUGGAAAAUGGCCCACUUCCCACUGGCGAAAACUCAGGAAAUUUGGCAGGACGACCGGGCCUGGUGAAAAAUUCGAUAUUCUGAAGUCGCCCAAACAAUAAAAUGCAAAAUGGCUCCAUAGCGCCCCCUAAGGUGAAAAUUCACAUGACGGCUGUACGCUUUGUCAUAUUGACACAAAAAUUGACACACACAUGUAUCUCAAUAAGAUCUACAAAAAAGUCAGUGCGGGCGUAUCUGUCAAAUGUACGGUUAAUGGGUUAUUUUGCAUUUUUUGCAGAUCUGCACACAUUGGAAUUUCGCUAACUCCUCCGAAGGCUUUCGUUCGACCGGCACCACAUUUGCGCAGGCCAAUCUACCCCCCAUGGCCAUUAAAAGUUGUACAAAUCAUGACGCUGCACCCCACGGUUUACGUUCUAGGGGGCGCCAAAGAUAACCCAAAAUCCACAUUCUUAAAAGUCUUAUAACUUUUUAUUUUUGUCCUCACUGCCCUCCAAGUUUUCUAGGAUGAUGCAAUGUCCAGCCAUCAACACAUUUGUGAAGGAAUUUUUACUCCCCAAAAGAGCGCCCCCCCAUGGCAGGAGAAAAAAGUCAAUUUUUUCUUGUCCCCUUACAUGAAAAUACACAUUGUUGAGUGUCACGCCUGAACGCUUUGUCAUAUUGACACAAAAAUUGACAAUCAUGUGUAUCUCAAUUAGAUCUACGAAAAAGUCAAAAAGCGCGUAUCUGUAUAAUGUACGGUUAAAGGGCUAUUUCGCAUUUUUUGCCGAUUCGCACACAUUGGAAUGUGGCUAUCUCCUCCUAAGGCUUUCGUCCCACCGAUACCAAAUUUGCUCAGGGCAAUCUACACCCCAUGCCCAUUCAAAGUUGUAAAAAUCAUGACGCUGCACCCCACGGUUUACGUUCUAGGGGGCGCCAAAGAUGACCCAAAAAUCCACAUUCUUAAAAGUCAUUUUGGCCACUGCAGGAGUACAGAGUACUGCAGUUCUAGGGGGCGCCAAAGAUGACCCAAAAAUCCACAUUCUUAAAAGUCUUUUUGGCCACUGCAGGAGUACAGAGUACUGCAGGAUACACACACAUACACACACACACACACACACACACACACACACACACACACACACACACACACACACAUUUUUCCAUAAUUCUUUGUUUUUUGCAGCAUUUUUAGGGCCCGAGCGUAGCUGCUAAGCAGCUGCGAGAGCCCUCUUGUUCCUGCAUGUUUCCUUCUUUCGUUAUUAUUUUUCCUCCGCUUUAAACUGGAAAAUGGCCCACUUCCCACUGGCGAAAACUCAGGAAAUUUGGCAGGACGACCGGGCCUGGUGAAAAAUUCGAUAUUCUGAAGUCGCCCAAACAAUAAAAUGCAAAAUGGCUCCAUAGCGCCCCCUAAGGUGAAAAUUCACAUGACGGCUGUACGCUUUGUCAUAUUGACACAAAAAUUGACACACACAUGUAUCUCAAUAAGAUCUACAAAAAAGUCAGUGCGGGCGUAUCUGUCAAAUGUACGGUUAAUGGGUUAUUUUGCAUUUUUUGCAGAUCUGCACACAUUGGAAUUUCGCUAACUCCUCCGAAGGCUUUCGUUCGACCGGCACCACAUUUGCGCAGGCCAAUCUACCCCCCAUGGCCAUUAAAAGUUGUACAAAUCAUGACGCUGCACCCCACGGUUUACGUUCUAGGGGGCGCCAAAGAUAACCCAAAAUCCACAUUCUUAAAAGUCUUAUAACUUUUUAUUUUUGUCCUCACUGCCCUCCAAGUUUUCUAGGAUGAUGCAAUGUCCAGCCAUCAACACAUUUGUGAAGGAAUUUUUACUCCCCAAAAGAGCGCCCCCCAUGGCAGGAGAAAAAAGUCAAUUUUUUCUUGUCCCCUUACAUGAAAAUACACAUUGUUGAGUGUCACGCCUGAACGCUUUGUCAUAUUGACACAAAAAUUGACAAUCAUGUGUAUCUCAAUUAGAUCUACGAAAAAGUCAAAAAGCGCGUAUCUGUAUAAUGUACGGUUAAAGGGCUAUUUCGCAUUUUUUGCCGAUUCGCACACAUUGGAAUGUGGCUAUCUCCUCCUAAGGCUUUCGUCCCACCGAUACCAAAUUUGCUCAGGGCAAUCUACACCCCAUGCCCAUUCAAAGUUGUAAAAAUCAUGACGCUGCACCCCACGGUUUACGUUCUAGGGGGCGCCAAAGAUGACCCAAAAAUCCACAUUCUUAAAAGUCAUUUUGGCCACUGCAGGAGUACAGAGUACUGCAGUUCUAGGGGGCGCCAAAGAUGACCCAAAAAUCCUCUCGCAGCUAAGCAGCUGCGAGAGCCCUCUUGUUCCUGCAUGUUUCCUUCUUUCGUUAUUAUUUUUCCUCCGCUUUAAACUGGAAAAUGGCCCACUUCCCACUGGCGAAAACUCAGGAAAUUUGGCAGGACGACCGGGCCUGGUGAAAAAUUCGAUAUUCUGAAGUCGCCCAAACAAUAAAAUGCAAAAUGGCUCCAUAGCGCCCCCUAAGGUGAAAAUUCACAUGACGGCUGUACGCUUUGUCAUAUUGACACAAAAAUUGACACACACAUGUAUCUCAAUAAGAUCUACAAAAAAGUCAGUGCGGGCGUAUCUGUCAAAUGUACGGUUAAUGGGUUAUUUUGCAUUUUUUGCAGAUCUGCACACAUUGGAAUUUCGCUAACUCCUCCGAAGGCUUUCGUUCGACCGGCACCACAUUUGCGCAGGCCAAUCUACCCCCCAUGGCCAUUAAAAGUUGUACAAAUCAUGACGCUGCACCCCACGGUUUACGUUCUAGGGGGCGCCAAAGAUAACCCAAAAUCCACAUUCUUAAAAGUCUUAUAACUUUUUAUUUUUGUCCUCACUGCCCUCCAAGUUUUCUAGGAUGAUGCAAUGUCCAGCCAUCAACACAUUUGUGAAGGAAUUUUUACUCCCCAAAAGAGCGCCCCCCCAUGGCAGGAGAAAAAAGUCAAUUUUUUCUUGUCCCCUUACAUGAAAAUACACAUUGUUGAGUGUCACGCCUGAACGCUUUGUCAUAUUGACACAAAAAUUGACAAUCAUGUGUAUCUCAAUUAGAUCUACGAAAAAGUCAAAAAGCGCGUAUCUGUAUAAUGUACGGUUAAAGGGCUAUUUCGCAUUUUUUGCCGAUUCGCACACAUUGGAAUGUGGCUAUCUCCUCCUAAGGCUUUCGUCCCACCGAUACCAAAUUUGCUCAGGGCAAUCUACACCCCAUGCCCAUUCAAAGUUGUAAAAAUCAUGACGCUGCACCCCACGGUUUACGUUCUAGGGGGCGCCAAAGAUGACCCAAAAAUCCACAUUCUUAAAAGUCAUUUUGGCCACUGCAGGAGUACAGAGUACUGCAGUUCUAGGGGGCGCCAAAGAUGACCCAAAAAUCCACAUUCUUAAAAGUCUUUUUGGCCACUGCAGGAGUACAGAGUACUGCAGGAUACACACACAUACACACACACACACACACACACACACACACACACACACACACACACUCAGAGUCUGUUUUUUAGCACCUGCAAAAACAUGCUGUUUACAUAUUUGACAAGAAUGCAGAGGCUUCCUUUUGCCCCUGAAAAAAAUCAGAUUUCAAACACAACUUGACUGUUCAUUUCUCCAAAAGACAACCAUGAAGCUCCAUCCAAACCUGAAGCAGAUAGUUGGUGCAUGUGUACAGUAACCUGAGGGGAGUGAGGUGACUAUUUCUGAGGAGAACAUGAGCAGUGAAGAUUCACCUUGGAGCUAGAACAGGGACGUGCACAUGAUUAUACAGGGGCAGGGGCUCAAGUUUUUUCCAGUCAUUUAUACAAUAUGGAAAUUAAUGUGAAAUUAAACCACAAAUAUGUGUGAUGAACUGUUUUUAAAACUUAAACUUCAAAUAAAAAUUGUAAACUUCAAAACAUAUGCAAAUUUUUAACAAAGAACAUAGUAAUUUACCUCUAUUUACAUCAAAAUGCAGGCAAUGGCCCAGGCGUUCUUUGUAAAAUUAUUUACAAAACACUGUAUAGUCUCACAAAUGUCACUUUUUAUUUAUGCCACUACAAAAAAACAUGAUGUAAAUGAUGCAUGAUGUAAAAAACUUGUGUAGAUCCUCCUCUAUGUCAGUCCAUGUGUAAUUUUUCCAUAAUUCUUUGUUUUUUGCAGCAUUUUUAGGGCCCGAGCGUAGCUGCUAAGCAGCUGCGAGAGCCCUCUUGUUCCUGCAUGUUUCCUUCUUUCGUUAUUAUUUUUCCUCCGCUUUAAACUGGAAAAUGGCCCACUUCCCACUGGCGAAAACUCAGGAAAUUUGGCAGGACGACCGGGCCUGGUGAAAAAUUCGAUAUUCUGAAGUCGCCCAAACAAUAAAAUGCAAAAUGGCUCCAUAGCGCCCCCUAAGGUGAAAAUUCACAUGACGGCUGUACGCUUUGUCAUAUUGACACAAAAAUUGACACACACAUGUAUCUCAAUAAGAUCUACAAAAAAGUCAGUGCGGGCGUAUCUGUCAAAUGUACGGUUAAUGGGUUAUUUUGCAUUUUUUGCAGAUCUGCACACAUUGGAAUUUCGCUAACUCCUCCGAAGGCUUUCGUUCGACCGGCACCACAUUUGCGCAGGCCAAUCUACCCCCCAUGGCCAUUAAAAGUUGUACAAAUCAUGACGCUGCACCCCACGGUUUACGUUCUAGGGGGCGCCAAAGAUAACCCAAAAUCCACAUUCUUAAAAGUCUUAUAACUUUUUAUUUUUGUCCUCACUGCCCUCCAAGUUUUCUAGGAUGAUGCAAUGUCCAGCCAUCAACACAUUUGUGAAGGAAUUUUUACUCCCCAAAAGAGCGCCCCCCCAUGGCAGGAGAAAAAAGUCAAUUUUUUCUUGUCCCCUUACAUGAAAAUACACAUUGUUGAGUGUCACGCCUGAACGCUUUGUCAUAUUGACACAAAAAUUGACAAUCAUGUGUAUCUCAAUUAGAUCUACGAAAAAGUCAAAAAGCGCGUAUCUGUAUAAUGUACGGUUAAAGGGCUAUUUCGCAUUUUUUGCCGAUUCGCACACAUUGGAAUGUGGCUAUCUCCUCCUAAGGCUUUCGUCCCACCGAUACCAAAUUUGCUCAGGGCAAUCUACACCCCAUGCCCAUUCAAAGUUGUAAAAAUCAUGACGCUGCACCCCACGGUUUACGUUCUAGGGGGCGCCAAAGAUGACCCAAAAAUCCACAUUCUUAAAAGUCAUUUUGGCCACUGCAGGAGUACAGAGUACUGCAGUUCUAGGGGGCGCCAAAGAUGACCCAAAAAUCCACAUUCUUAAAAGUCUUUUUGGCCACUGCAGGAGUACAGAGUACUGCAGGAUACACACACAUACACACACACACACACACACACACACACACACACACACACACACACACACACACACACUCAGAGUCUGUUUUUUAGCACCUGCAAAAACAUGCUGUUUACAUAUUUGACAAGAAUGCAGAGGCUUCCUUUUGCCCCUGAAAAAAAUCAGAUUUCAAACACAACUUGACUGUUCAUUUCUCCAAAAGACAACCAUGAAGCUCCAUCCAAACCUGAAGCAGAUAGUUGGUGCAUGUGUACAGUAACCUGAGGGGAGUGAGGUGACUAUUUCUGAGGAGAACAUGAGCAGUGAAGAUUCACCUUGGAGCUAGAACAGGGACGUGCACAUGAUUAUACAGGGGCAGGGGCUCAAGUUUUUUCCAGUCAUUUAUACAAUAUGGAAAUUAAUGUGAAAUUAAACCACAAAUAUGUGUGAUGAACUGUUUUUAAAACUUAAACUUCAAAUAAAAAUUGUAAACUUCAAAACAUAUGCAAAUUUUUAACAAAGAACAUAGUAAUUUACCUCUAUUUACAUCAAAAUGCAGGCAAUGGCCCAGGCGUUCUUUGUAAAAUUAUUUACAAAACACUGUAUAGUCUCACAAAUGUCACUUUUUAUUUAUGCCACUACAAAAAAACAUGAUGUAAAUGAUGCAUGAUGUAAAAAACUUGUGUAGAUCCUCCUCUAUGUCAGUCCAUGUGUAAUUUUUCCAUAAUUCUUUGUUUUUUGCAGCAUUUUUAGGGCCCGAGCGUAGCUGCUAAGCAGCUGCGAGAGCCCUCUUGUUAGGGCCCGAGCGUAGCUGCUAAGCAGCUGCGAGAGCCCUCUUGUUCCUGAUGGAUUCUUCUUUCGUUAUUUUUCCUCCGCUUUAAACUGGAAAAUGGCCCACUUCCCACUGGCGAAAACUCAGGAAAUUUGGCAGGACGACCGGGCCUGGUGAAAAAUUCGAUAUUCUGAAGUCGCCCAAACAAAAAAAUGAAAAAUGGCUCCAUAGCGCCCCCUAUGGUGAAAACUCACCUGACGCCUGUACGCUUUGUCAAAAUGACACAAAAUUUGACACACAUGUGUAUCUCAAUAAGAUCUACAAAAAAGUCAGUGCGGGCGUAUCUGUCAAAUGUACCGUUAAAGGGCUAUUUCGCAUUUUUUGCCGAUCCGCACACAUUGGAAUUUCGCUAACUCCUCCGAAGGCUUUCGUUCCACCGGCACCAAAUUUGCUCAGGACAAUCUACACCCCAUGGCCAUUAAAAGUUGUACAAAUAAUGACGCUGCACCCCACGGUUUACAUUCUAGGGGGCGCCAAAGAUAACCCAAAAAUCCACAUUCUUAAAAGUCUUAUAACUUUUUAUUUUUGUCCUCACUGGCCUCCAAGUUUUCUAGGAUGAUGCAAUGUCCAGCCAUCAACACAUUUGUGAAGAAAUUUUUACUCCCCAAAAGAGCGCCCCCCCAUGGCAGGAGAAAAAAUCCAUUUUUUCUUGUCCCCUAAGGUGAAAAUACACAUUGUUGAGUGCCACGCCUGAACGCUUUGUCAUAUUGACACAAAAUUUGACAAUCACGUGUAUCUCAAUAAGAUCUAUGAAAAAGUCAAUGCACAAAUAUCUGUAAAAUGUACGGUUAAAGGGCUAUUUUGCAUUUUUUGCCGAUUCACACACAUUGGAAUGUGGCUAACUCCUCCUAAGGCUUUCGUCCCACUGACACCAAAUUUGCUCAGGCCAAUCUACACCCCAUGGCCAUUCAAAGUUGUAAAAAUCAUGACGCUGCACCCCACGGUUUACGUUCUAGGGGGCGCCAAAGAUGACCCAAAUAUCCACAUUCUUAAAAGAAUCCACACCCCCCCCCCCCUCCCCCCAUGGCAGGAGAAAAAGUCAAGUUUUUCCUGCCCAUCGCUCAAUGGCUCAAUCGCAUCGCUCUUUCGGCAAAAGCGAAAGGAGGGGCAACUUGCCAUUUGGAUAUAUCCUAGCUGUGUUCGUGCCCUCACUCAUGGUCCAGACUUUUUUCAAAUAGGACAUGAAGUUUCUCUGCAGCGAGUGUUUUGGUAGAAACUGCGCCUCCCAUUCAUUAUAAUGGGAAAUGACCACAGACAAGUGCGCACUCCAUCUUUGGACCUUGAGUGUGACGCGAUCGGGAGGUGGAGGCGGUCGCGCUGGGGGCGGCGCGACGCGGCGCGACGCGGCUCGGGCCCGACAGUGCCCCACCGGGGCCCUAGUUAGGGCCCGAGCGUAGCUGCUAAGCAGCUGCGAGAGCCCUCUUGUUCCUGCAUGUUUCCUUCUUUCGUUAUUAUUUUUCCUCCGCUUUAAACUGGAAAAUGGCCCACUUCCCACUGGCGAAAACUCAUGAAAUUUGGCAGGACGACCGGGCCUGGUGAAAAAUUCGAUAUUCUGAAGUUGCCCAAACAAUAAAAUGCAAAAUGGCUCCAUAGCGCCCCCUAAGGUGAAAAUUCACAUGACGGCUGUACGCUUUGUCAUAUUGACACAAAAAUUGACACACACAUGUAUCUCAAUAAGAUCUACAAAAAAGUCAGUGCGGGCGUAUCUGUCAAAUGUACGGUUAAUGGGUUAUUUUGCAUUUUUUGCAGAUCUGCACACAUUGGAAUUUCGCUAACUCCUCCGAAGGCUUUCGUUCGACCGGCACCACAUUUGCGCAGGCCAAUCUACCCCCCAUGGCCAUUAAAAGUUGUACAAAUCAUGACGCUGCACCCCACGGUUUACGUUCUAGGGGGCGCCAAAGAUAACCCAAAAUCCACAUUCUUAAAAGUCUUAUAACUUUUUAUUUUUGUCCUCACUGCCCUCCAAGUUUUCUAGGAUGAUGCAAUGUCCAGCCAUCAACACAUUUGUGAAGGAAUUUUUACUCCCCAAAAGAGCGCCCCCCCAUGGCAGGAGAAAAAAGUCAAUUUUUUCUUGUCCCCUUACAUGAAAAUACACAUUGUUGAGUGUCACGCCUGAACGCUUUGUCAUAUUGACACAAAAAUUGACAAUCAUGUGUAUCUCAAUUAGAUCUACGAAAAAGUCAAAAAGCGCGUAUCUGUAUAAUGUACGGUUAAAGGGCUAUUUCGCAUUUUUUUCCGAUUUGCACACAUUGGAAUGUGGCUAUCUCCUCCUAAGGCUUUCGUCCCACCGAUACCAAAUUUGCUCAGGGCAAUCUACACCCCAUGGCCAUUCAAAGUUGUAAAAAUCAUGACGCUGCACCCCACGGUUUACGUUCUAGGGGGCGCCAAAGAUGACCCAAAAAUCCACAUUCUUAAAAGUCAUUUUGGCCACUGCAGGAGUACAGAGUACUGCAGUUCUAGGGGGCGCCAAAGAUGACCCAAAAAUCCACAUUCUUAAAAGUCUUUUUGGCCACUCCAGGAGUACAGAGUACUGCAGGAUACACACACAUAUACACACACACACACACACACACACACACACACACACACACACACACACACACACACUCAGAGUCUGUUUUUUAGCACCUGCAAAAACAUGCUGUUUACAUAUUUGACAAGAAUGCAGAGGCUUCCUUUUGCCCCUGAAAAAAAUCAGAUUUCAAACACAACUUGACUGGUCAUUUCUCCAAAAGACAACCAUGAAGCUCCAUCCAAACCUGAAGCAGAUAGUUGGUGCAUGUGUACAGUAACCUGAGGGGAGUGAGGUGACUAUUUCUGAGGAGAACAUGAGCAGUGAAGAUUCACCUUGGAGCUAGAACAGGGACGUGCACAUGAUUAUACAGGGGCAGGGGCUCAAGUUUUUUCCAGUCGUUUAUACAAUAUGGAAAUUAAUGUGAAAUUAAAAAAACAAAGUAUUAAUAGAAAGGUAAUGACUGUCCUGUGUAGGUGACAGUGAUAUCCAAUAGGCUAGGCACUCACGAGGCUGGCUGUGGCAAGUGUAAGUGAAAGCAACACGCACUGGCAGGAAGAACAGCAAACGCCGAUGAAGGAAAAGGGUCUUUGCAGUGAUGGGCGUUACCAGAGAGGACGAUGGCCAGAGGACGCGAAUGGGACGGGGAGGCAGCGCGUUGGGGGGGGGGGGGGGGCGACACAGCUCGGGCCCGCCAGUGCCCCAACGGGACCCUAGUUCUUUCUUUCUUUCUUCUUUUUCCUCCCCUUUGAACUGGAAAAUGGCCCACUUCCCACUGGCGAAAACUCAUGAAAUUUGGCAGGACGACCGGGCCUGGUGAAAAAUUCGAUAUUCUGAAGUCGCCCAAACAAUAAAAUGCAAAAUGGCUCCAUAGCGCCCCCUAAGGUGGAAAUUCACACUAUUGACUGUCACGCCUGUACGCUUUGUCAUAUUGACACAAAAAUUGACACACAUAUGUAUCUCAAUAAGAUCUACAAAAAAGUCAGUGCGGCCGUAUCUGUCAAAAUUACGGUUAAAGGGUUAUUUCGCAUUUUUUGCCGAUCCGCACACAUUGGAAUUUCGCUAACUCCUCCGAAGGCUUUCGUUCCACCGGCACCACAUUUGCUCAGGCCAAUCUACACCCCGUGGCCAUUAAAAGUUAUCAAAAUCAUGACGCUGCACCCCAAGGUUUAGGUUCUAGGGGGCGCCAAAGAUAACACUAAAAUCCACAUAUUUAAAAGUCUUAUAACUUUUUAUUUUUGUCCUCACUGCCCUCCAAGUUUUCUAGGAUGAUGCAAUGUCCAGCCAUCAACACAUUUGUGAAGGAAUUUUUACUCCCCAAAAGAGCGCCCCCCCAUGGCAGGAGAAAAAAGUCAAUUUUUUCUUGUCCCCUUACAUGAAAAUACACAUUGUUGAGUGUCACGCCUGAACGCUUUGUCAUAUUGACACAAAAAUUGACAAUCAUGUGUAUCUCAAUUAGAUCUACGAAAAAGUCAAAAAGCGCGUAUCUGUAUAAUGUACGGUUAAAGGGCUAUUUCGCAUUUUUUGCCGAUUCGCACACAUUGGAAUUUCGCUAACUCCUCCGAAGGCUUUCGUUCGACCGGCACCACAUUUGCGCAGGCCAAUCUACCCCCCAUGGCCAUUAAAAGUUGUACAAAUCAUGACGCUGCACCCCACGGUUUACGUUCUAGGGGGCGCCAAAGAUAACCCAAAAUCCACAUUCUUAAAAGUCUUAUAACUUUUUAUUUUUGUCCUCACUGGCCUCCAAGUUUUCUAGGAUGAUGCAAUGUCCAGCCAUCAACACAUUUGUGAAGGAAUUUUUACUCCCCAAAAGAGCGCCCCCCCAUGGCAGGAGAAAAAAGUCCAUUUUUUCUUGUCCCCUAAGGUGAAAAUACACAUUGUUGAGUGUUACGCCUGUACGCUUUGGCAAAAUGACACAAAAAUUGACACACACAUGUAACUCAAUAAGAUCUACAAAAAAGUCAAUGCGCGCGUAUCUGUCAAAUGUACGGUUAAAGGGUUAUUCCGCAUUUUUUGCCGAUUCGCACACAUUGGAAUUUCGCUAACUCCUCCGAAGGCUUUCGUUCCACCGGCACCACAUUUGCUCAGGCCAAAUUACACCCCAUGGCCAUUAAAAGUUAUUCAAAUCAUGACGCUGCACCCCACGGUUUAAGUUCUAGGGGGCGCCAAAGAUAACCCAAAAAUCCACAUUUUUAAAAGUCUUUUAACUUUUUAUUUUUGUCCUCACUGGCCUCCAAGUUUUCUAGGAUGAUGCAAUGUCCAGCCAUCAACACAUUUGUGAAGGAAUUUUUACUCCCUAAAAGAGCGCCCCCCCAUGGCAGGAGAAAAAAGUCCAUUUUUCUUGUCCCCUAAGGUGAAAAUACACAUUGUUGACUGUCACGCCUGUACGCUUUGGCAAAAUGACACAAAAAUUGACAAUCAUGUGUAUCUCAAUUAGAUCUACGAAAAAGUCAAAGAGCGCGUAUCUGUAUAAUGUACGGUAAAAGGGCUAUUUUGCAUUUUUUUCCAAUUCGCACACAUUGGAAUUUCGCUAACUCCUCCUAAGGCUUUCGUCCCACUGACACCAAAUUUGCUCAGGCCAAUCUACACUCCAUGGCCAUUCAAAGUUGUAAAAAUCAUGACGCUGCACCCCACGGUUUACGUUUUAGGGGGCGCCAAAGAUGACCCAAAUAUACAUUACAGUAGACAAAGUAGUUUUGCCCACUGAGUGGCGCCAAAGGGACUUGUCUGUGGAGUCUGUGAGUCACUAUUGGCCGUUUUUGACUACUUUAGAUUUUACCUUUAUAUUUCCUCUGACAAAAUUUUUACCUUGCCUUGCCUGGUAUCAUUUUUUUCAGCACAACCUCACCUGUGUCAAUUUACAGUUAUUUUAUCAUUUUGACAUACUAUAUUUACACAUUGGACCCAAAUUCACACACAAAACAUAAAAUCCGAGUGGAAAAAAGUAACGUUUUUACUGUGAAAACCACAAAUAUGUGUGAUGAACUGUUUUUAAAACUUAAACUUCAAAUAAAAAUUGUAAACUUCAAAACAUAUGCAAAUUUUUAACAAAGAACAUAGUAAUUUACCUCUAUUGACAUCAAAAUGCAGGCAAUGGCCCAGGUGUUCUUUGUAAAAUUAUUUACAAAACACUGUAUAGUCUCACAAAUGUCACUUUUUAUUUAUGCCACUACAAAAAAACAUGAUGUAAAUGAUGCAUGAUGUAAAACAUGAUGUAAAAAACUUGUGUAGAUCCUCCUCUAUGUUAGUCCAUGUGUAAUUUUUCCAUAAUUCUUUGUUUUUUGCAGCAUUUUUGUUAGUGUAACUGCAGAUUGUGCUGACAGUGUCUAUGGCAAAAAAAAAAAAAACUGAAAAUGCCUCAACAUGAACUCCUGGUGGUCUCUGAGGGUGAAACCUGCUAACUGCUGCAGCUCUGUCAGCUUCAGUCUCCCAUGCAGAGCUCGGAGCGCAUGUGUGGCUCUGCACCCUUAGCAGUGUUGCUAACUCCUCAGUAAGGAAAGCCUGCUUCAUGUCAGAGUCUCUAAACUCCAGAAGAAGUCGAUAAAAGUCACUUUCUUUCUAAAAAAGUCGUUAGGGGGUCUGAAAAGUCAUUGAAUCUAACAACAAAGUCGCUAGGUUUGCAACUACGUGUCCCAGACUGCAUCCCUGCUGAGAGUCCCUCCCUCCCUUCUCAUAUUGCAGGAAGAACGUAAGUUCCCGCCCCUUGUCAAUCAGUCACCAUAUAAUUUUGGAUUGGUUGUUGUGGUGAAGUUUUCCACCAAUAGGAGAGAUGUUGUGGUGUGUUUUUUUUUCCUUUGGCAAGCCUUUUCCGCCUGUAAGACCUGUCGCUAAUGUCUGCAUGCUAUGUUUUCCUGUCUCAUACAGCGCGAUCGAGCGCCGAACGUGAUCAAAAUAAGCAGAAAAAAAGUAUCGCGGACAUAAUUUAUCAUAACUCUGGUUUUAUUUGGCCUAUCAACACAAUUUAAAAACUGGUAUAUAGGUUGAGGUCCUCACUUUUGAGAUAAAUUGAAACGGAGAGUCAACGAGGCUCCGUCUUGCAGCUACAUCCGGUUAAAUAUGUCAUGUGACUUGAACGCACACACACACACACACACACACACACACACACAGACACACACACACACGCACACACACACACACUCAGAGUCUGGUUUUUAGCACCUGCAAAAACAUGCUAUUUACAUAUUUGACAAGAAUGCAGAGGCUCCUUUUGCCCCUGAAAAAAAUCAAAUUUCAAACACAACUUGACUGGUCAUUUCUCCAAAAGACAACCAUGAAGCUCCAUCCAAACCUGAAGCAGGCAGUUGGUGCAUGUGUACAGUAACCUGAGGGGAGUGAGGUGACUGCUUCUGAGGAGAACAUGAGCAGUGAAGAUUCACCUUAGAGCUAGAACAGAGACGUGCACAUGAUUAUACAGGGGCAGGGGCUCAAGUUUUUUCCAGUUGUUUAUACAAUAUGGAAAUUAAUGUGAAAUUAAAAAACAAAGUAUUAAUAGAAAGGUAAUGACUGUCCUGUGUAGGUGACAGUGAUAUCCAAUAGGCUAGGCACUCACGAGGCUGGCUGUGGCAAGUGUAAGUGAAAGCAACACGCACUGGCAGGAAGAACAGCAAACGCCGAUGAAGGAAAAGGGUCUUUGCAGUGAUGGGCGUUACCAGAGAGGGCGACGGCCAGAGGACGCGAAUGGGACGGGGAGGCAGCGCGUUGGGGGGGGGACGCGACACAGCUCGGGCCCGCCAGUGCCCCAACGGGGUCCUAGUUAGGGCCCGAGCCAGCUGCAGAGCAGCCGGGCGUAGGCCCUAUUAUUCCCCAAGUGGUUUUUCUUUGUUUCUUUCUUUCUUUCUUUCUUUCUUCUUUUUCCUCCCCUUUGAACUGGAAAAUGGCCCACUUCCCACUGGCGAAAACUCAUGAAAUUUGGCAGGACGACCGGGCCUGGUGAAAAAUUUGAUAUUCUGAAGUCGCCCAAACAUUAAAAUGCAAAAUGGCUCCAUAGCGCCCCCUAAGGUGGAAAUUCACACUAUUGACUGUCACGCCUGUACGCUUUGUCAUAUUGACACAAAAAUUGACACACAUAUGUAUCUCAAUAAGAUCUACAAAAAAGUCAGUGCGGCCGUAUCUGUCAAAAUUACGGUUAAAGGGUUAUUUCGCAUUUUUUGCCGAUCCGCACACAUUGGAAUUUCGCUAACUCCUCCGAAGGCUUUCGUUCCACCAGCACCACAUUUGCUCAGGCCAAUCUACACCCCGUGGCCAUUAAAAGUUAUCAAAAUCAUGACGCUGCACCCCAAGGUUUAGGUUCUAGGGGGCGCCAAAGAUAACACUAAAAUCCACAUAUUUAAAAGUCUUAUAACUUUUUAUUUUUGUCCUCACUGGCCUCCAAGUUUUCUAGGAUGAUGCAAUGUCCAGCCAUCAACACAUUUGUGAAGGAAUUUUUACUCCCCAAAAGAGCGCCCCCCCAUGGCAGGAGAAAAAAGUCCAUUUUUUCUUGUCCCCUAAGGUGAAAAUACACAUUGUUGAGUGUCACGCCUAUACGCUUUGUCAAAAUGACACAAAAAUUGACACACACAUGUAACUCAAUAAGAUCUACAAAAAAGUCCAUGCGCGCGUAUCUGUCAAAUGUACAGUUAAAGGGUUAUUCCGCAUUUUUUGCCGAUACGCACACAUUGGAAUUUCGCUAACUCCUCCGAAGGCUUUCGUUCCACCGGCACCACAUUUGCUCAGGCCAAUCUACACCCCAUGGCCAUUAAAAGUUAUUCAAAUCAUGAUGCUGCACCCCACGGUUUAGGUUCUAGGGGGCGCCAAAGAUAACCCAAAAAUCCACAUUCUUAAAUGUUUUAUAACUUUUUAUUUUUGUCCUCACUGGCCUCCAAGUUUUCUAGGAUGAUGCAAUGUCCAGCCAUCAACACAUUUGUGAAGGAAUUUUUACUCCCCAAAAGAGCGCCCCCCCAUGGUAGGAGAAAAAAGUCAAUUUUUUCUUGUCCCCUUACAUAAAAAUACACAUUGUUGAGUGUCACGCCUGAACGCUUUGUCAUAUUGACACAAAAAUUGACAAUCAUGUGUAUCUCAAUUAGAUCUACGAAAAAGUCAAAGAGCGCGUAUCUGUAUAAUGUACGGUUAAAGGGCUAUUUUGCAUUUUUUGCCGAUUCGCACACAUUGGAAUGUGGCUAUCUCCUCCUAAGGCUUUCGUCCCACCGAUACCAAAUUUGCUCAGGGCAAUCUACACCCCAUGCCCAUUCAAAGUUGUAAAAAUCAUGACGCUGCACCCCACGGUUUACGUUCUAGGGGGCGCCAAAGAUGACCCAAAAAUCCACAUUCUUAAAAGUCAUUUUGGCCACUGCAGGAGUACAGAGUACUGCAGUUCUAGGGGGCGCCAAAGAUGACCCAAAAAUCCACAUUCUUAAAAGUCUUUUUGGCCACUGCAGGAGUACAGAGUACUGCAGGAUACACACACAUAUACACACACGCCAACAUACACACACACACACACACACACACACACACACACACAGACACACACACACACUCAGAGUCUGUUUUUUAGCACCUGCAAAAACAUGCUGUUUACAUAUUUGACAAGAAUGCAGAGGCUUCCUUUUGCCCCUGAAAAAAAUCAAAUUUCAAACACAACUUGACUGUUCAUUUCUCCAAAAGACAACCAUGAAGCUCCAUUUCAAACCUGAAGCAGAUAGUUGGUGCAUGUGUACAGUAACCUGAGGGGAGUGAGGUGACUAUUUCUGAGGAGAACAUGAGCAGUGAAGAUUCACCUUGGAGCUAGAACAGGGACGUGCACAUGAUUAUACAGGGGCAGGGGCUCAAGAUUUUUCCAGUCAUUUAUACAAUAUGGAAAUUAAUGUGAAAUUAAACCACAAAUAUGUGUGAUGAACUGUUUUUAAAACUUAAACUUCAAAUAAAAAUUGUAAACUUCAAAACAUAUGCAAAUUUUUAACAAAGAACAUAGUAAUUUACCUCUAUUUACAUCAAAAUGCAGGCAAUGGCCCAGGCGUUCUUUGUAAAAUUAUUUACAAAACACUGUAUAGUCUCACAAAUGUCACUUUUUAUUUAUGCCACUACAAAAAAACAUGAUGUAAAUGAUGCAUGAUGUAAAACAUGAUGUAAAAAACUUGUGUAGAUCCUCCUCUAUGUCAGUCCAUGUGUAAUUUUUCCAUAAUUAUUUGUUUUUUGCAGCAUUUUUGUUAGUGUAACUGCAGAUUGUGCUGACAGUGUCUAUGGCACAAAAAAAAAAAAAAUUAAAAUGCCUCAACAUGAACCCCUGGUGGUCUCUGAGGGUGAAACCUGCUAACUGCUGCAGCUCUGUCAGCUUCAGUCUCCCAUGCAGAGCUCUGAGCGCAUGUGUGGCUCUGCACCCUUAGCAGCGUUGCUAACUCCUCAGUAAGGAAAGCCUGCUUCAUGUCAGAGUCUCUAAACUCCAGAAGAAGUCGAUAAAAGUCCCUUUCUUUCUAAAAAAAGUCGUUAGGGUGUCUGAAAAGUCAUUGAAUCUAACAACAAAGUCGCUAGGUUUGCAACUACGUGUCCCAGACUGCAUCCCUGCUGAGAGUCCCUCCCUCCCUUCUCAUGUUGCAGGAAGAACGUAAGCGCCCGCCCCUUGUCAAUCAGUCACCAUAUAAUUUUGGAUUGGUUGUUGUGGUGAAGUUUUCCACCAAUAGGAGAGAUGUUGUGGUGUGUUUUUUUUUUCUUUUGGCAAGCCUUUUCCGCCUGUAAGACCUGUCGCUAAUGUCUGCAUGCUAUGUUUUCCUGUCUCAUACAGCGCGAUCGAGCGCCGAACGUGAUCAAAAUAAGCAGAAAAAAAGUAUCGCGGACAUAAUUUAUCAUAACUCUGGUUUUAUUUGGCCUAUCAACACAAUUUAAAAACUGGUAUAUAGGUUGAGGUCCUCACUUUUGAGAUAAGUUGAAACGGAGAGUCAACGAGGCUCCGUCUUGCAGCUACAUCCGGUUAAAUAUGUCAUGUGACUUGAACGCACACAUAGACACACACACACGCACACACACACACACACACACACACACACACACACACACACACACACACACACACACUCAGAGUCUGGUUUUUAGCACCUGCAAAAACAUGCUAUUUACAUAUUUGACAAGAAUGCAGAGGCUCCUUUUGCCCCUGAAAAAAAUCAAAUUUCAAACACAACUUGACUGGUCAUUUCUCCAAAAGACAACCAUGAAGCUCCAUCCAAACCUGAAGCAGGCAGUUGGUGCAUGUGUACAGUAACCUGAGGGGAGUGAGGUGAGUGCUUCUGAGGAGAACAUGAGCAGUGAAGAUUCACCUUGGAGCUAGAACAGAGACAUGCACAUGAUUAUACAGGGGCAGGGGCUCAAGUUUUUUCCAGUCGUUUAUACAAUAUGGAAAUUAAUGUGAAAUUAAAACACAAAGUAUUAAUAGAAAGGUAAUGACUGUCCUGUGUAGGUGACAGUGAUAUCCAAUAGGCUAGGCACUCACGAGGCUGGCUGUGGCAAGUGUAAGUGAAAGCAACACGCACUGGCAGGAAGAACAGCAAACGCCGAUGAAGGAAAAGGGUCUUUGCAGUGAUGGGCGUUAACAGAGAGGGCGAUGGCCAGAGGACACAAAUGGGACGGGGAGGCAGCACGUUGGGGGGUGGGGGGUGGGGGGGGGAGACGCGACACGGCUCGGGCCCGCCAGUGCCCCAACGGGGUCCUAGUUAUUAUUUUUCCUCCCCUUUGAACUGGAAAAUGGCCCACUUCCCACUGGCGAAAACUCAUGAAAUUUGGCAGGACGACCGGGCCUGGUGAAAAAUUUGAUAUUCCGAAGUCGCCCAAACAAGAAAAUGCAAAAUGGCUCCAUAGCGCCCCCUAAGGUGAAAAUUCACACUAUUCACUGUCACGCCUGUACGCUUUGUCAAAAUGACACAAAAAUUGACACACACAUGUAUCUCAAUAAGAUCUACAAAAAAGUCAGUGCGGGCGUAUCUGUCAAAUGUACGGUUAAAGGGUUAUUUCGCAUUUUUUGCCGAUCCGCACACAUUGGAAUUUCGCUAACUCCUCCGAAGGCUUUCGUUCCACCGGCACCACAUUUGCUCAGGCCAAUCUACACCCCAUGGCCAUUAAAAGUUAUUCAAAUCAUGACGCUGCACCCCACGGUUUAGGUUCUAGGGGGCGCCAAAGAUAACCCUAAGAUCCACAUAUUUAAAAGUCUUAUAACUUUUUAUUUUUGCCCUCACUGGCCUCCAAGUUUUCUAGGAUGAUGCAAUGUCCAGCCAUCAACACAUUUGUGAAGGAAUUUUUACUCCCCAAAAGAGCGCCCCCCCAUGGCAGGAGAAAAAAGUCCAUUUUUUCUUGUCCCCUAAGGUGAAAAUACACAUUGUUGAGUGUAACACCUGUACGCUUUGGCAAAAUGACACAAAAAUUGACACACACAUGUAUCUCAAUAAGAUCUACGAAAAAGUCAAUGCGCGCGUAUCUGUCAAAUGUACGGUUAAAGGGUUAUUCCGCAUUUUUUGCCGAUCCGCACACAUUGGAAUUUCGCUAACUCCUCCGAAGGCUUUCGUUCCACCGGCACCACAUUUGCUCAGGCCAAUCUACACCCCAUGGCCAUUAAAAGUUAUUCAAAUCAUGACGCUGCACCCCACGGUUUAGGUUCUAGGGGGAGCCAAAGAUAACCGUAAAAUCCACAUAUUUAAAAGUCUUAUAACUUUUUAUUUUUGUCCCCACUGGCCUCCAAGUUUUCUAGGAUGAUGCAAUGUCCAGCCAUCAACACAUUUGUGAAGGAAUUUUUACUCGCCAAAAGAGCGCCCCCCAUGGCAGGAGAAGAAAGUCAAUUUUUUCUUGUCCACUAAGGUGAAAAUACACAUUGUUGAGUGCUACGCCUGUAUGUUUUGUCGUAUUGACACAAAAUUUUACAUACACGUGUAUUUCAAUAAGAUCUUCGAAAAAGUCAAUGGCCACGUAUCUGUAAAAUGUACGGUUAAAGGGUUAUUUCGCAUUUUUUGCAGAUUGGCACACAUUGGAAUUUCGCUAAUUCCUCCGAAGGCUUUCGUUCCACCGGCACCACAUUUGCUCAGGCCAAUCUACACCCCAUGGCCAUUAAAAGUUAUUCAAAUCAUGACGCUGCACCCCACGGUUUAGGUUCUAGGGGGCGCCAAAUAUAACCCUAAAAUCCACAUAUUUAAAAGUCUUAUAACUUUUUAUUUUUGUCCUCACUGGCCUCCAUGUUUUCUAGGAUGAUGCAAUGUCCAGCCAUCAACACAUUUGUGAAGGAGUUUUUUCUCUUUAAAAGAGCGCCCCCCAUGGCAGGAGAAUAAAGUCAAGUUUUUCCUGUUCAUCAUUCAAUGGCUCAAACGCACUGCUCUCUCGGCAAAAGCGAAAGGAGGAGCAACUUGCCAUUUGGAUAUAUCUUAGCUGUGUUUGUGCCCUCACUCAUGGUCCAGACUUUUUUCAAAUAGGACAUGGAGUUUUUCUGCAGCGAGCGUUUUGGUAGAAACUGCGCCUCCCGUUCAUUAUAAUGGUAAAUGACCACAAACAAGUGCGCACACCAUCUUUGGACCUUGAGUGUGACGCGAUCGGGUGGGGGAGGCGGUCGCGCUGGGGGCGGCGUGACACGGCUCGGGCCCGCCAGUGCCCCAACGGGGCCCUAGUUCUUCUUUUUCCUCCCCUUUGAACUGGAAAAUGGCCCACUUCCCACUGGCGAAAACUCAUGAAAUUUGGCAGGACGACCGGGCCUGGUGAAAAAUUCGAUAUUCUGAAGUCGCCCAAACAAUAAAAUUCAAAAUGGCUCCAUAGCGCCCCCUAAGGUGGAAAUUCACACUAUUGACUGUCACGCCUGUACGCUUUGUCAUAUUGACACAAAAAUUGACACACAUAUGUAUCUCAAUAAGAUCUACAAAAAAGUCAGUGCGGCCGUAUCUGUCAAAAUUACGGUUAAAGGGUUAUUUCGCAUUUUUUGCCGAUCCGCACACAUUGGAAUUUCGCUAACUCCUCCGAAGGCUUUCGUUCCACCGGCACCACAUUUGCUCAGGCCAAUCUACACCCCGUGGCCAUUAAAAGUUAUCAAAAUCAUGACGCUGCACCCCAAGGUUUAGGUUCUAGGGGGCGCCAAAGAUAACACUAAAAUCCACAUAUUUAAAAGUCUUAUAACUUUUUAUUUUUGUCCUCACUGGCCUCCAAGUUUUCUAGGAUGAUGCAAUGUCCAGCCAUCAACACAUUUGUGAAGGAAUUUUUACUCCCCAAAAGAGCGCCCCCCCAUGGCAGGAGAAAAAAGUCCAUUUUUUCUUGUCACCUAAGGUGAAAAUACACAUUGUUGAGUGUAACACCUGUACGCUUUGGCAAAAUGACACAAAAAUUGACACACACAUGUAUCUCAAUAAGAUCUACGAAAAAGUCAAUGCGCGCGUAUCUGUCAAAUGUACGGUUAAAGGGUUAUUCCGCAUUUUUUGCCGAUCCGCACACAUUGGAAUUUCGCUAACUCCUCCGAAGGCUUUCGUUCCACCGGCACCACAUUUGCUCAGGCCAAUCUACACCCCAUGGCCAUUAAAAGUUAUUCAAAUCAUGACGCUGCAUCCCACGGUUUAGGUUCUAGGGGGCGCCAAAGAUAACCCUAAAAUCCACAUAUUUAAAAGUCUUAUAACUUUUUAUUUUUGUCCUCACUGGCCUCCAAGUUUUCUAGGAUGAUGCAAUGUCCAGCCAUCAACACAUUUGUGAAGGAAUUUUUACUCCCCAAAAGAGCGCCCCCCCAUGGCAGGAGAAAAAAGUCAAUUUUUUCUUGUCCCCUAAGGUGGAAAUUCACACUAUUGACUGUCACGCCUGUACGCUUUAUCAUAUUGACACAAAAAUUGACACACAUAUGUAUCUCAAUAAGAUCUACAAAAAAGUCAAUUCGCGCGUAUCUGUCAAAUGUACGGUUAAAGGGCUAUUUUUCAUUUUUUGCCGAUUCGCACACAUUGGAAUGUGGCUAACUCCUCCUAAGGCUUUCGUCCCACUGACACCAAAUUUGCUCAGGCCAAUCUACACCCCAUGGCCAUUCAAAGUUGUAAAAAUCAUGACGCUGCACCCCACGGUUUAGGUUCUAGGGGGCGCCAAAGAGGACCCAAAAAUCCACAUUCUUAAAAGAAUCCACAUCCCCCCCCCUAUGGCAGGAGAAAAAGUCAAGUUUUUCCUGCCCAUCGCUCAAUGGCUCAAUCGCAUCGCUCUCCAGGCAACACCGUAAGGAGGAGCAACCUGGCAUUUCGAUAUAUCAUAGCUGUGUUUGUGCCCUCACUCAUGGUCCAGACUUUUUUCAAAUAGGACAUGAAGUUUGUCUGCAGCGAGUGUUUUGGUAGAAACUGCGCCUCCCAUUCAUUAUAAUGGGAAAUGACCACAGACAAGUGCGCACACCAUCUUUGGUUCUUGAGUGUGACGCGAUCGGGACGGGGAGGCGGUCGCACUGGGGGCGGCGCGACGCGGCUCGGGCCCGACAGUGCCCCACCGGGGCCCUAGUUCUUUCUUUCUUUCUUCUUUUUCCUCCCCUUUGAACUGGAAAAUGGCCCACUUCCCACUGGCGAAAACUCAUGAAAUUUGGCAGGACGACCGGGCCUGGUGAAAAAUUCGAUAUUCUGAAGUCGCCCAAACAAUAAAAUGCAAAAUGGCUCCAUAGCGCCCCCUAAGGUGGAAAUUCACACUAUUGACUGUCACGCCUGUACGCUUUGUCAUAUUGACACAAAAAUUGACACACAUAUGUAUCUCAAUAAGAUCUACAAAAAAGUCAGUGCGGCCGUAUCUGUCAAAAUUACGGUUAAAGGGUUAUUUCGCAUUUUUUGCCGAUCUGCACACAUUGGAAUUUCGCUAACUCCUCCGAAGGCUUUCGUUCCACCGGCACCACAUUUGCUCAGGCCAAUCUACACCCCGUGGCCAUUAAAAGUUAUCAAAAUCAUGACGCUGCACCCCAAGGUUUAGGUUCUAGGGGGCGCCAAAGAUAACACUAAAAUCCACAUAUUUAAAAGUCUUAUAACUUUUUAUUUUUGUCCUCACUGGCCUCCAAGUUUUCUAGGAUGAUGCAAUGUCCAGCCAUCAACACAUUUGUGAAGGAAUUUUUACUCCCCAAAAGAGCGCCCCCCCAUGGCAGGAGAAAAAAGUCCAUUUUUUCUUGUCCCCUAAGGUGAAAAUACACAUUGUUGAGUGUCACGCCUAUACGCUUUGUCAAAAUGACACAAAAAUUGACACACACAUGUAACUCAAUAAGAUCUACGAAAAAGUCAAUGCGCGCGUAUCUGUCAAAUGUACGGUUAAAGGGUUAUUUCGCAUUUUUUGCCGAUCCGCACACAUUGGAAUUUCGCUAACUCCUCCGAAGGCUUUCGUUCCACCGGCACCACAUUUGCUCAGGCCAAUCUACACCCCGUGGCCAUUAAAAGUUAUCAAAAUCAUGACGCUGCACCCCACGGUUUACGUUCUAGGGGGCGCCAAAGAUAACCCUAAAAUCCACAUAUUUAAAAGUCUUAUAACUUUUUAUUUUUGUCCUCACUGGCCUCCAAGUUUUCUAGGAUGAUGCAAUGUCCAGCCAUCAACACAUUUGUGAAGGAAUUUUUACUCCCCAAAAGAGCGCCCCCCCAUGGCAGGAGAAAAAAGUCCAUUUUUUCUUGUCCCCUAAGGUGAAAAUACAUAUUGUUGAGAUUCACGCCUAUACGCUUUGUCAUAUUGACACAAAAUUUGACAAUCACAUGUAUCUCAAUCAGAUCUACGAAAAAGUCUAUGCGCGCGUAUCUGUAAAAUGUACGGUUAAAGGGCUAUUUUGCAUUUUUUGCCGAUUCGCACACAUUGGAAUGUGGCUAACUCCUCCUAAGGCUUUCGUCCCACUGACACCAAAUUUGCUCAGGCCAAUCUACACCCCAUGGCCAUUCAAAGUUGUAAAAAUCAUGACGCUGCACCCCACGGUUUACGUUCUAGGGGGCGCCAAAGAUGACCCAAAUAUCCACAUUCUUAAAAGAAUCCACAUCCCCCCCAUCCCCCAUCCCCCAUGGCAGGAGAAACAGUCAAGUUUUUCCUGCCCAUCACUCAAUGGCUCAUUCGCAUCACUCUCCCGGCAACACCGUAACGAGGAGCAACUUGCCGUUUGGAUAUAUCCUAGCUGUGUUUGUGCCCUCACUCAUGGUCCAGACUUUUUUCAAAUAGGACAUGUAGUUUGUCUGCAGCGAGUGUUUUGGUAGAAACUGCGCCUCCCAUUCAUUAUAAUGGGAAAUGACCACAGACAAGUGCGCACACCAUCUUUGGACCUUGAGUGUGACGCGAUCGGGAGGGGUAGGCGGUCGCGCUGGGGGCGGCGCAACGCGGCUCGGGCCCGACAGUGCCCCACCGGGGUCCUAGUUAGGGCCCGAGCGUAGCUGCUAAGCAGCUGCGAGAGCCCUAUUAUUCCCCAAGGGGUUUUUAGGGCCCGAGCGUAGCUGCUAAGCAGCUGCAAGAGCCCUCUUGUUCCUGUAGUUUCCUUCUUUAGGGCCCGAGCGUAGCUGCUAAGCAGCUGCGAGAGCCCUAUUAUUCCUGAUGGAUUCUUCUUUCUUCUUCUUCUUCUUCUUAUUAUUUUUCUGCCCCUUUGAACUGGAAAAUGGCCCACUUCCCACUGGUGAAAAGUCAUGAAAUUUGGCAGGACGACCGGGCCUGGUGAAAAAUUCGAUAUUCUGAAGUCGCCCAAAAAAUCAAAUGCAAAAUGGCUCCAUAGCGCCCCCUAAGGUGAAAAAUUCACAUGAUUGAGUGUCACGCCUGUACGCUUUGUCAAAAUGACACAAAAUUUGACACACACGUGUAUCUCAAUAAGAUCUACAAAAAAGUCAGUGCGGGCGUAUCUGUCAAAUGUACGGUUAAAGGGCUAUUUCGCAUUUUUUGCCGAUCCGCACACAUUGGAAUUUCGCUAACUCCUCCGAAGGCUUUCGUUCCACCGGCACCAAAUUUGCUCAGGCCAAUCUACACCCCAUGGCCAUUAAAAGUUGUACAAAUCAUGACGCUGCAUCCCACGGUUUACGUUCUAGGGGGCGCCAAAGAUAACCCAGAAAUCCACAUUCUUAAAAGUCGUAUAACUUUUUAUUUUUGUCCUCACUGGCCUCCAAGUUUUCUAGGAUGAUGCAAUGUCCAGCCAUCAACACAUUUGUGAAGGAAUUUUUACUCCCCAAAAGAGCGCCCCCCCAUGGCAGGAGAAAAAAGUCCAUUUUUUCUUGUCUCCUAAGGCGAAAAUUCACACUAUUGACUGUCACGCCUUUACGCUUUGUCAUAUUGACACAAAAAAUGACACACACAUGUAUCUCAAUAAGAUCUACAAAAAAGUCAGUGCGGGCGUAUCUGUCAAAUGUACGGUGAAAGGGCUAUUUCGCAUUUUUUGCCGAUCCGCACACAUUGGAAUUUCGCUAACUCCUCCGAAGGCUUUCGUUCCAAAGGCACCACAUUUGCUCAGGCCAAUCUACACCCCAUGGCCAUUAAAAGUUGUACAAAUCAUGACGCUGCACCCCACGGUUUACGUUCUAGGGGGCGCCAAAGAUAACCCAAAAAUCCACAGUCUUAAAAGUCUUAUAACUUUUUAUUUUUGUCCUCACUGGCCUCCAAGUUCUCUAGGAUGAUGCAAUGUCCAGCCAUCAACACAUUUGUGAAGGAAUUUUUACUCGCCAAAAGAGCGCCCCCCCAUGGCAGGAGAAAAAAGUCCAUUUUUUCUUGUCUCCUAAGGCGAAAAUACACAUUGUUGACUGUCACGCCUUUACGCUUUGUCAAAAUGACACAAAAUUUGACACACACAUGUAUCUCAAUAAGAUCUACAAAAAAGUCAGUGCGGGCGUAUCUGUCAAAUGUACGGUUAAAGGGUUAUUUCGCAUUUUUUGCCGAUCCGCACACAUUGGAAUUUCGCUAACUCCUCCUAAAUCUUUUGUCCCAUCGGCUUCAAAUUUGCUCAGGUCAAUCUACACCCCAUGGCCAUUCAAAAUUGUACAAAUCAUGACGCUGCACCCCACAGUUUACGUUCUAGGGGGCGCCAAAGAGGACCCAAAUAUCCACAUUUUUAAAAGUCUUAUAACUUUUUAUUUUUGUCCUCACUGGCCUCCAAGUUUUCUAGGAUGAUGCAAUGUCCAGCCAUCAACACAUUUGUGAAGGAAUUUUUUCUCCCCAAAAGAGGGCCCCCCCAUGGCAGGAGAAAAAGUCAAGUUUUUCCUGCCCAUCGCUCAAUGGCUCAAACGCAUCGCUCUCUCUGCAAAACCGAAAGGAGGAGCAACUUGCCAUUUGGAUAUAUACUAGCUGUGUUUGUGCCCUCACUCAUGGUCCAGACUUUUUUCAAAUAGGACAUGUAGUUUGUCUGCAGCGAGCGUUUUGGUAGAAACUGCGCCUCCCAUUCAUUAUAAUGGGAAAUGACCACAGACAAGUGCGCACACCAUCUUUGGACCUUGAGUGUGACGCGAUCGGGAGGGGGAGGCGGUCGCGCUGGGGGCGGCGCGACGCGGCUCGGGCCCGACAGUGCCCCACCGGGGCCCUAGUUCUUCUUCUUCUUCUUCUUAUUAUUUUUCUGCCCCUUUGAACUGGAAAAUGGCCCACUUCCCACUGGUGAAAAGUCAUGAAAUUUGGCAGGACGACCGGGCCUGGUGAAAAAUUCGAUAUUCUGAAGUCGCCCAAAAAAUCAAAUGCAAAAUGGCUCCAUAGCGCCCCCUAAGGUGAAAAAUUCACAUGAUUGAGUGUCACGCCUGUACGCUUUGUCAAAAUGACACAAAAUUUGACACACACGUGUAUCUCAAUAAGAUCUACAAAAAAGUCAGUGCGGCCGUAUCUGUCAAAUGUACGGUUAAAGGGCUAUUUCGCAUUUUUUGCCGAUCCGCACACAUUGGAAUUUCGCUAACUCCUCCGAAGGCUUUCGUUCCACCGGCACCAAAUUUGCUCAGGCCAAUCUACACCCCAUGGCCAUUAAAAGUUGUACAAAUCAUGACGCUGCAUCCCACGGUUUACGUUCUAGGGGGCGCCAAAGAUAACCCAGAAAUCCACAUUCUUAAAAGUCGUAUAACUUUUUAUUUUUGUCCUCACUGGCCUCCAAGUUUUCUAGGAUGAUGCAAUGUCCAGCCAUCAACACAUUUGUGAAGGAAUUUUUACUCCCCAAAAGAGCGCCCCCCCAUGGCAGGAGAAAAAAGUCCAUUUUUUCUUGUCUCCUAAGGCGAAAAUUCACACUAUUGACUGUCACGCCUUUACGCUUUGUCAUAUUGACACAAAAAUUGACACACACAUGUAUCUCAAUAAGAUCUACAAAAAAGUCAGUGCGGGCGUAUCUGUCAAAUGUACGGUGAAAGGGCUAUUUCGCAUUUUUUGCCGAUCCGCACACAUUGGAAUUUCGCUAACUCCUCUGAAGGCUUUCGUUCCAAAGGCACCACAUUUGCUGAGGCCAAUCUACACCCCAUGGCCAUUAAAAGUUGUACAAAUCAUGAUGCUGCACCCCACGGUUUACGUUCUAGGGGGCGCCAAAGAUAACCCAAAAAUCCACAGUCUUAAAAGUCUUAUAACUUUUUAUUUUUGUCCUCACUGGCCUCCAAGUUCUCUAGGAUGAUGCAAUGUCCAGCCAUCAACACAUUUGUGAAGGAAUUUUUACUCGCCAAAAGAGCGCCCCCCAUGGCAGGAGAAAAAAGUCCAUUUUUUCUUGUCUCCUAAGGCGAAAAUACACAUUGUUGACUGUCACGCCUUUACGCUUUGUCAAAAUGACACAAAAUUUGACACACACAUGUAUCUCAAUAAGAUCUACAAAAAAGUCAGUGCGGGCGUAUCUGUCAAAUGUACGGUUAAAGGGUUAUUUCGCAUUUUUUGCCGAUCCGCACACAUUGGAAUUUCGCUAACUCCUCCUAAAUCUUUUGUCCCAUCGGCUUCAAAUUUGCUCAGGUCAAUCUACACCCCAUGGCCAUUCAAAGUUGUACAAAUCAUGACGCUGCACCCCACAGUUUACGUUCUAGGGGGCGCCAAAGAGGACCCAAAUAUCCACAUUUUUAAAAGUCUUAUAACUUUUUAUUUUUGUCCUCACUGGCCUCCAAGUUUUCUAGGAUGAUGCAAUGUCCAGCCAUCAACACAUUUGUGAAGGAAUUUUUUCUCCCCAAAAGAGCGCCCCCCCAUGGCAGGAGAAAAAGUCAAGUUUUUCCUGCCCAUCGCUCAAUGGCUCAAACGCAUCGCUCUCUCUGCAAAACCGAAAGGAGGAGCAACUUGCCAUUUGGAUAUAUACUAGCUGUGUUUGUGCCCUCACUCAUGGUCCAGACUUUUUUCAAAUAGGACAUGUAGUUUGUCUGCAGGAAGCGUUUUGGUAGAAACUGCGCCUCCCAUUCAUUAUAAUGGGAAAUGACCACAGACAAGUGCGCACACCAUCUUUGGACCUUGAGUGUGACGCAAUCGGGAGGGGGAGGCGGUCGCGCUGGGGGCGGCGCGACGCGGCUCGGGCCCGACAGUGCCCCACCGGGGCCCUAGUUUGUUAUUAUUAUUAUUAUUUUUCCUCCCCUUUGAACUGGAAAAUGGCCCACUUCCCACUGGCGAAAACUCAUGAAAUUUGGCAGGACGACCGGGCCUGGUGAAAAAUUUGAUAUUCCGAAGUCGCCCAAACAAGAAAAUGCAAAAUGGCUCCAUAGCGCCCCCUAAGGUGAAAAUUCACACUAUUCACUGUCACGCCGGUACGCUUUGUCAAAAUGACACAAAAAUUGACACACACAUGUAUCUCAAUAAGAUCUACAAAAAAGUCAGUGCGGGCGUAUCUGUCAAAUGUACGGUUAAAGGGUUAUUUCGCAUUUUUUGCCGAUCCGCACACAUUGGAAUUUCGCUAACUCCUCCGAAGGCUUUCGUUCCACCGGCACCACAUUUGCUCAGGCCAAUCUACACCCCAUGGCCAUUAAAAGUUAUUCAAAUCAUGACGCUGCACCCCACGGUUUAGGUUCUAGGGGGCGCCAAAGAUAACCCUAAGAUCCACAUAUUUAAAAGUCUUAUAACUUUUUAUUUUUGCCCUCACUGGCCUCCAAGUUUUCUAGGAUGAUGCAAUGUCCAGCCAUCAACACAUUUGUGAAGGAAUUUUUACUCCCCAAAAGAGCGCCCCCCAUGGCAGGAGAAAAAAGUCCAUUUUUUCUUGUCCCCUAAGGUGAAAAUACACAUUGUUGAGUGUAACACCUGUACGCUUUGGCAAAAUGACACAAAAAUUGACACACACAUGUAUCUCAAUAAGAUCUACGAAAAAGUCAAUGCGCGCGUAUCUGUCAAAUGUACGGUUAAAGGGUUAUUCCGCAUUUUUUGCCGAUCCGCACACAUUGGAAUUUCGCUAACUCCUCCGAAGGCUUUCGUUCCACCGGCACCACAUUUGCUCAGGCCAAUCUACACCCCAUGGCCAUUAAAAGUUAUUCAAAUCAUGACGCUGCACCCCACGGUUUAGGUUCUAGGGGGCGCCAAAGAUAACUGUAAAAUCCACAUAUUUAAAAGUCUUAUAACUUUUUAUUUUUGUCCCCACUGGCCUCCAAGUUUUCUAGGAUGAUGCAAUGUCCAGCCAUCAACACAUUUGUGAAGGAAUUUUUACUCGCCAAAAGAGCGCCCCCCAUGGCAGGAGAAAAAAGUCCAUUUUUUCUUGUCCACUAAGGUGAAAAUACACAUUGUUGAGUGCUACGCCUGUAUGUUUUGUCGUAUUGACACAAAAUUUUACAUACACGUGUAUUUCAAUAAGAUCUUCGAAAAAGUCAAUGGCCACGUAUCUGUAAAAUGUACGGUUAAAGGGUUAUUUCGCAUUUUUUGCAGAUUCGCACACAUUGGAAUUUCGCUAACUCCUCCGAAGGCUUUCGUUCCACCGGCACCACAUUUGCUCAGGCCAAUCUACACCCCAUGGCCAUUAAAAGUUAUUCAAAUCAUGACGCUGCACCCCACGGUUUAGGUUCUAGGGGGCGCCAAAGAUAACCCUAAAAUCCACAUAUUUAAAAGUCUUAUAACUUUUUAUUUUUGUCCUCACUGGCCUCCAUGUUUUCUAGGAUGAUGCAAUGUCCAGCCAUCAACACAUUUGUGAAGGAGUUUUUUCUCUUUAAAAGAGCGCCCCCCAUGGCAGGAGAAUAAAGUCAAGUUUUUCCUGUUCAUCAUUCAAUGGCUCAAACGCACUGCUCUCUCGGCAAAAGCGAAAGGAGGAGCAACUUGCCAUUUGGAUAUAUCUUAGCUGUGUUUGUGCCCUCACUCAUGGUCCAGACUUUUUUCAAAUAGGACAUGGAGUUUUUCUGCAGCGAGCGUUUUGGUAGAAACUGCGCCUCCCGUUCAUUAUAAUGGUAAAUGACCACAAACAAGUGCGCACACCAUCUUUGGACCUUGAGUGUGACGCGAUCGGGUGGGGGAGGCGGUCGCGCUGGGGGCAGCGUGACACGGCUCGGGCCCGCCAGUGGCCCAACGGGGCCCUAGUUCUUUGUUUCUUUCUUUCUUUCUUUCUUCUUUUUCCUCCCCUUUGAACUGGAAAAUGGCCCACUUCCCACUGGCGAAAACUCAGGAAAUUUGGCAGGACGACCGGGCCUGGUGAAAAAUUCGAUAUUCUGAAGUCGCCCAAACAAUAAAAUGCAAAAUGGCUCCAUAGCGCCCCCUAAGGUGGAAAUUCACACUAUUGACUGUCACGCCUGUACGCUUUGUCAUAUUGACACAAAAAUUGACACACAUAUGUAUCUCAAUAAGAUCUACAAAAAAGUCAGUGCGGCCGUAUCUGUCAAAUGUACGGUUAAAGGGUUAUUUUGCAUUUUUUUCCGAUCCGCACACAUUGGAAUUUCGCUAACUCCUCCGAAGGCUUUCGUUCCACCGGCACCACAUUUGCUCAGGCCAAUCUACACCCCGUGGCCAUUAAAAGUUAUCAAAAUCAUGACGCUGCACCCCAAGGUUUAGGUUCUAGGGGGCGCCAAAGAUAACACUAAAAUCCACAUAUUUAAAAGUCUUAUAACUUUUUAUUUUUGUCCUCACUGGCCUCCAAGUUUUCUAGGAUGAUGCAAUGUCCAGCCAUCAACACAUUUGUGAAGGAAUUUUUACUCCCCAAAAGAGCGCCCCCCAUGGCAGGAGAAAAAAGUCCAUUUUUUCUUGUCCCCUAAGGUGAAAAUACACAUUGUUGACUGUCACGCCUUUACGCUUUGUCAAAAUGACACAAAAAUUGACACACACAUGUAACUCAAUAAGAUCUACGAAAAAGUCAACGCGCGCGUAUCUGUCAAAUGUACGGUUAAAGGGUUAUUCCGCAUUUUUUGCCGAUCCGCACACAUUGGAAUUUCGCUAACUCCUCCGAAGGCUUUCUGUCCACCGGCACCACAUUUGCUCAGGCCAAUCUACACCCCAUGGCCAUUAAAAGUUAUUCAAAUCAUGACGCUGCACCCCACGGUUUAGGUUCUAGGGGGCGCCAAAGACAACCCUAAAAUCCACAUAUUUAAAAGUCUUAUAACUUUUUAUUUUUGUCCUCACUGGCCUCCAAGUUUUCUAGGAUGAUGCAAUGUCCAGCCAUCAACACAUUUGUGAUGCCAUCAACACAUUGUGAUCAACACGUUUGAUUCACGCCUAUACGCUUUGUCAUAUUGACACAAAAUUUGACAAUCACGUGCCUUGCCUGGUAUCAUUUUUUUUCAGCACAACCUCACCUGUGCGAAUUUACAGUUAUUUUAUCAUGUUGACAUACUGAAUUUACACAAUGGACCCAAAUUCACACACAAAACAUAAAAUCCGAGUGGAAAAAAGUAACAUUUUUACUGUGAAAACCACAAAUAUGUGUGAUGAACUGUUUUUAAAACUUAAACUUCAAAUAAAAAUUGUAAACUUCAAAACAUAUGCAAAUUUUUAACAAAGAACAUAGUAAUUUACCUCUAUUUACAUCAAAAUGCAGGCAAUGGCCCAGGUGUUCUUUGUAAAAUUAUUUACAAAACACUGUAUAGUCUCACAAAUGUCACUUUUUAUUUAUGCCACUACAAAAAAACAUGAUGUAAAUGAUGCAUGAUGUAAAACAUGAUGUAAAAAACUUGUGUAGAUCCUCCUCUAUGUCAGUCCAUGUGUAAUUUUUCCAUAAUUCUUUGUUUUUUGCAGCAUUUUUGUUAGUGUAACUGCAGAUUGUGCUGACAGUGUCUAUGGCACAAAAAAAAAAAAAAAUUUAAAAUGCAUCAACAUGAACCCCUGGUGGUCUCUGAGGGUGAAACCUGCUAACUGCUGCAGCUCUGUCAGCUUCAGUCUCCCAUGCAGAGCUCUGAGCGCAUGUGUGGCUCUGCACCCUUAGCAGCGUUGCUAACUCCUCAGUAAGGAAAGCCUGCUUCAUGUCAGAGUCUCUAAACUCCAGAAGAAGUCGAUAAAAGUCCCUUUCUUUCUAAAAAAAAGUCGUUAGGGGGUCUGAAAAGUCAUUGAAUCUAACAACAAAGUCGCUAGGUUUGCAACUACGUAUCCCAGACUGCAUCCCUGCUGAGAGUCCCUCCCUCCCUUCUCAUGUUGCAGGAAGAACGUAAGCGCCCGCCCCUUGUCAAUCAGUCACCAUAUAAUUUUGGAUUGGUUGUUGUGGUGAAGUUUUCCACCAAUAGAAGAGAUGUUGUGGUGUGUUUUUUUUUUCUUUUGGCAAGCCUUUUCCGCCUGUAAGACCUGUCGCUAAUGUCUGCAUGCUAUGUUUUCCUGUCUCAUACAGCGCGAUCGAGCGCCGAACGUGAUGCAGCUACAUCCGGUUAAAUAUGUCAUGUGACUUGAACGCACACACAGACACACACACGCACACACACACACACACACACACACACUCAGAGUCUGGUUUUUAGCACCUGCAAAAACAUGCUAUUUACAUAUUUGACAAGAAUGCAGAGGCUCCUUUUGCCCCUGAAAAAAAUCAAAUUUCAAACACAACUUGACUGGUCAUUUCUCCAAAAGACAACCAUGAAGCUCCAUCCAAACCUGAAGCAGGCAGUUGGUGCAUGUGUACAGUAACCUGAGGGGAGUGAGGUGACUGCUUCUGAGGAGAACAUGAGCAGUGAAGAUUCACCUUGGAGCUAGAACAGAGACAUGCACAUGAUUAUACAGGGGCAGGGGCUCAAGUUUUUUCCAGUCGUUUAUACAAUAUGGAAAUUAAUGUGAAAUUAAAACACAAAGUAUUAAUAGAAAGGUAAUGACUGUCCUGUGUAGGUGACAGUGAUAUCCAAUAGGCUAGGCACUCACGAGGCUGGCUGUGGCAAGUGUAAGUGAAAGCAACACGCACUGGCAGGAAGAACAGCAAACGCCGAUGAAGGAAAAGGGUCUUUGCAGUGAUGGGCGUUACCAGAGAGGGCGAUGGCCAGAGGACACAAAUGGGACGGGGAGGCAGCACGUUGGGGGGGGACGCGACACGGCUCGGGCCCGCCAGUGCCCCAACGGGGUCCUAGUUAUUAUUUUUCCUCCCCUUUAAACUGGAAAAUGGCCCACUUCCCACUGGCGAAAACUCAUGAAAUUUGGCAGGACGACCGGGCCUGGUGAAAAAUUUGAUAUUCUGAAGUCGCCCAAACAAUAAAAUGCAAAAUGGCUCCAUAGCGCCCCCUAAGGUGGAAAUUCACAGUAUUGACUGUCACGCCUGUACGCUUUGUCAAAAUGACACAAAAUUUGACACACAUAUGUAUCUCAAUAAGAUCUACAAAAAAGUCAGCGCGGGCGUAUCUGUCAAAUGUACGGUUAAAGGGCUAUUUCGCAUUUUUUGGCGAUCCGUACACAUUGGAAUUUCGCUAACUCCUCCGAAGGCUUUUGUUCCACCGGCACCACAUUUGCUCAGGCCAAUCUGCACCCCAUGGCCAUUAAAAGUUAUUCAAAUCAUGACGCUGCACCCCACGGUUUAGGUUCUAGGGGGCGCCAAAGAUAACCCUAAAAUCCACAUAUUUAAAAGUCUUAUAACUUUUUAUUUUUGUCCUCACUGGCCUCCAAGUUUUCUAGGAUGAUGCAAUGUCCAGCCAUCAACACAUUUGUGAAGGAAUUUUUACUCCCCAAAAGAGCGCCCCCCCAUGGCAGGAGAAAAAAGUCCAUUUUUUCUUGUCCCCUAAGGUGAAAAUACACAUUGUUGAGUGUCACGCCUCUACACUUUGUCAAAAUGACACAAAAUUUGGCACACAGGUGUGUCUCAAUAAGAUCUACGAAAAAGUCAAUGCGGGCGUAUCUGUCAAAUGUACGGUUAAAGGGCUAUUUCGCAUUUUUUGGCGAUCCGUACACAUUGGAAUUUCGCUAACUCCUCCGAAGGCUUUUGUUCCACCGGCACCACAUUUGCUCAGGCCAAUCUACACCCCAUGGCCAUUAAAAGUUAUUCAAAUCAUGACGCUGCACCCCACGGUUUAGGUUCUAGGGGGCGCCAAAGAUAACCCUAAAAUCCACAUAUUUAAAAGUCUUAUAACUUUUUAUUUUUGUCCUCACUGGCCUCCAAGUUUUCUAGGAUGAUGCAAUGUCCAGCCAUCAACACAUUUGUGAAGGAAUUUUUACUCCCCAAAAGAGCGCCCCCCCAUGGCAGGAGAAAAAAGUCCAUUUUUUCUUGUCCCCUAAGGUGAAAAUACACAUUGUUGAGUGUCACGCCUCUACACUUUGUCAAAAUGACAAAAAAUUUGGCACACAGGUGUAUCUCAAUAAUAUCUACGAAAAAGUCAAUGCGGGCGUAUCUGUCAAAUGUACGGUUAAAGGGCUAUUUCGCAUUUUUUGGCGAUCCGUACACAUUGGAAUUUCGCUAACUCCUCCGAAGGCUUUUGUUCCACCGGCACCACAUUUGCUCAGGCCAAUCUGCACCCCAUGGCCAUUAAAAGUUAUUCAAAUCAUGACGCUGCCCACGGUUUAGGUUCUAGGGGGCGCCAAAGAUAACCCUAAAAUCCACAUAUUUAAAAGUCUUAUAACUUUUUAUUUUUGUCCUCACUGGCCUCCAAGUUUUCUAGGAUGAUGCAAUGUCCAGCCAUCAACACAUUUGUGAAGGAAUUUUUACUCCCUAAAAGAGCGCCCCCCCAUGGCAGGAGAAAAAGUCAAGUUUUUCCUGCCCAUCGCUCAACGGCUCAAACACAUCGCUCUCUCGGCAAAACCGAAAGGAGGAGAAACUUGCCAUUUGGAUAUAUCCUAGCUGUGUUUGUGCCCUCACUCAUGGUCCAGACUUUUUUCAAAUAGGACAUGUAGUUUGUCUGCAGCGAGCGUUUUGGUAGAAACUGCGCCUCCCAUUCAUUAUAAUGGUAAAUGACCACAGACAAGUGCGCACACCAUCUUUGGACCUUGAGUGUGACGCGAUCGGGAGGGAGAGGCGGUCGUGUUGGGGGCGGCGCGACACAGCUCGGGCCCGCCAGUGCCCCACUGGGGCCCUAGUUAGGGCCCGAGCGUAGCUGCUAAGCAGCUGCGAGAGCCCUAUUAUUCCCCAAGUGGUUUUUCUUUGUUUCUUUCUUUCUUUCUUUCUUUCUUUCUUCUUUUUCCUCCCCUUUGAACUGGAAAAUGGCCCACUUCCCACUGGCGAAAACUCAUGAAAUUUGGCAGGACGACCGGGCCAGGUGAAAAAUUCGAUAUUCUGAAGUCGCCCAAACAAGAAAAUGCAAAAUGGCUCCAUAGCGCCCCCUAAGGUGGAAAUUCACACUAUUGACUGUCACGCCUGUACGCUUUGUCAUAUUGACACAAAAAUUGACACACAUAUGUAUCUCAAUAAGAUCUACAAAAAAGUCAGUGCGGCCGUAUCUGUCAAAAUUACGGUUAAAGGGUUAUUUCGCAUUUUUUGCCGAUCCGCACACAUUGGAAUUUCGCUAACUCCUCCGAAGGCUUUCGUUCCACCGGCACCACAUUUGCUCAGGCCAAUCUACACCCCGUGGCCAUUAAAAGUUAUCAAAAUCAUGACGCUGCACCCCAAGGUUUAGGUUCUAGGGGGCGCCAAAGAUAACACUAAAAUCCACAUAUUUAAAAGUCUUAUAACUUUUUAUUUUUGUCCUCACUGGCCUCCAAGUUUUCUAGGAUGAUGCAAUGUCCAGCCAUCAACACAUUUGUGAAGGAAUUUUUACUCCCCAAAAGAGCGCCCCCCCAUGGCAGGAGAAAAAAGUCCAUUUUUUCUUGUCCCCUAAGGUGAAAAUACACAUUGUUGAGUGUCACGCCUAUACGCUUUGUCAAAAUGACACAAAAAUUGACACACACAUGUAACUCAAUAAGUUCUACGAAAAAGUCAGUGCGCGCGUAUCUGUCAAAUGUACGGUUAAAGGGUUAUUCCGCAUUUUUUGCCGAUCCGCACACAUUGGAAUGUGGCUAACUCCUCCUAAGGCUUUCGUUCCACCGGCACCACAUUUGCUCAGGCCAAUCUACACCCCAUGGCCAUUAAAAGUUAUUCAAAUCAUGACGCUGCACCCCACGGUUUAGGUUCUAGGGGGCGCCAAAGAUAACCCUAAAAUCCACAUAUUUAAAAGUCUUAUAACUUUUUAUUUUUGUCCUCACUGGCCUCCAAGUUUUCUAGGAUGAUGCAAUGUCCAGCCAUCAACACAUUUGUGAAGGAAUUUUUACUCCCCAAAAGAGCGCCCCCCCAUGGCAGGAGAAAAAAGUCAAUUUUUUCUUGUCCCGUAAGGUGAAAAUACAUAUUGUUGAGAUUCACGCCUAUACGCUUUGUCAUAUUGACACAAAAUUUGACAAUCACGUGCCUUGCCUGGUAUCAUUUUUUUCAGCACAACCUCACCUGUGCGAAUUUACAGUUAUUUUAUCAUGUUGACAUACUGAAUUUACACAAUGGACCCAAAUUCACACACAAAACAUAAAAUCCGAGUGUAAAAAAGUAACAUUUGUACUGUGAAAACCACUAAUAUGUGUGAUGAACUGUUUUUAAAACUUAAACUUCCAAUUAAAAUUGUAAACUUCAAAACAUAUGCAAAUUUUUAACAAAGAACAUAGUGAUUUACCUCUAUUUACAUCAAAAUGCAGGCAAUGGCCCAGGCGUUCUUUGUAAAAUUAUUUACAAAACACUGUAUAGUCUCACAAAUGUCACUUUUUAUUUAUGCCACUACAAAAAAACAUGAUGUAAAUGAUGCAUGAUGUAAAACAUGAUGUAAAAAACUUGUGUAGAUCCUCCUCUAUGUCAGUCCAUGUGUAAUUUUUCCAUAAUUCUUUGUUUUUUGCAGCAUUUUUGUUAGUGUAACUGCAGAUUGUGCUGACAGUGUCUAUGGCACAAAAAAAAAAAAAUUAAAAUGCCUCAACAUGAACCCCUGGUGGUCUCUGAGGGUGAAACCUGCUAACUGCUGCAGCUCUGUCAGCUUCAGUCUCCCAUGCAGAGCUCUGAGCGCAUGUGUGGCUCUGCACCCUUAGCAGCGUUGCUAACUCCUCAGUAAGGAAAGCCUGCUUCAUGUCAGAGUCUCUAAACUCCAGAAGAAGUCGAUAAAAGUCCCUUUCUUUCUAAAAAAAGUCGUUAGGGGGUCUGAAAAGUCAUUGAAUCUAACAACAAAGUCGCUAGGUUUGCAACUACGUGUCCCGGACUGCAUCCCUGCUGAGAGUCCCUCCCUCCCUUCUCAUGUUGCAGGAAGAACGUAAGCGCCCGCCCCUUGUCAAUCAGUCACCAUAUAAUUUUGGAUUGGUUGUUGUGGUGAAGUUUUCCACCAAUAGGAGAGAUGUUGUGGUGUGUUUUUUUUUCUUUUGGCAAGCCUUUUCCGCCUGUAAGACCUGUCGCUAAUGUCUGCAUGCUAUGUUUUCCUGUCUCAUACAGCACGAUCGAGCGCCGAACGUGAUCAAAAUAAGCAGAAAAAAAGUAUCGCGGACAUAAUUUAUCAUAACUCUGGUUUUAUUUGGCCUAUCAACACAAUUUAAAAACUGGUAUAUAGGUUGAGGUCCUCACUUUUGAGAUAAGUAGAAACGGAGAGUCAACGAGGCUCCGUCUUGCAGCUACAUCCGGUUAAAUAUGUCAUGUGACUUGAACGCACACACAGACACACACACACGCACACACACACACACACACACACACACACACUCAGAGUCUGGUUUUUAGCACCUGCAAAAACAUGCUAUUUACAUAUUUGACAAGAAUGCAGAGGCUCCUUUUGCCCCUGAAAAAAAUCAAAUUUCAAACACAACUUGACUGGUCAUUUCUCCAAAAGACAACCAUGAAGCUCCAUCCAAACCUGAAGCAGGCAGUUGGUGCAUGUGUACAGUAACCUGAGGGGAGUGAGGUGAGUGCUUCUGAGGAGAACAUGAGCAGUGAAGAUUCACCUUGGAGCUAGAACAGAGACAUGCACAUGAUUAUACAGGGGCAGGGGCUCAAGUUUUUUCCAGUCGUUUAUACAAUAUGGAAAUUAAUGUGAAAUUAAAACACAAAGUAUUAAUAGAAAGGUAAUGACUGUCCUGUGUAGGUGACAGUGAUAUCCAAUAGGCUAGGCACUCACGAGGCUGGCUGUGGCAAGUGUAAGUGAAAGCAACACGCACUGGCAGGAAGAACAGCAAACGCCGAUGAAGGAAAAGGGUCUUUGCAGUGAUGGGCGUUACCAGAGAGGGCGAUGGCCAGAGGACACAAAUGGGACGGGGAGGCAGCACGUUGGGGGGGGGGGGGGGACGCGACACAGCUCGGGCCCGCCAGUGCCCCAACGGGGUCCUAGUUUUUCUUUUUCCUCCCCUUUGAACUGGAAAAUGGCCCACUUCCCACUGGCGAAAACUCAUGAAAUUUGGCAGGACGACCGGGCCUGGUGAAAAAUUUGAUAUUCCGAAGUCGCCCAAACAAUAAAAUGCAAAAUGGCUCCAUAGCGCCCCCUAAGGUGAAAAUUCACAUGACGGCUGUACGCUUUGUCAUAUUGACACAAAAAUUGACACACACAUGUAUCUCAAUAAGAUCUACAAAAAAGUCAGUGCGGGCGUAUCUGUCAAAUGUACGGUUAAUGGGUUAUUUUGCAUUUUUUGCAGAUCUGCACACAUUGGAAUUUCGCUAACUCCUCCGAAGGCUUUCGUUCCACCGGCACCACAUUUGCUCAGGCCAAUCUACACCCCAUGGCCAUUAAAAGUUAUUCAAAUCAUGACGCUGCACCCCACGGUUUAGGUUCUAGGGGGCGCCAAAAAUAACCCUAAAAUCCACAUAUUUAAAAGUCUUAUAACUUUUUAUUUUUGUCCUCACUGGCCUCCAAGUUUUCUAGGAUGAUGCAAUGUCCAGCCAUCAACACAUCUGUGAAGGAAUUUUUACUCCCCAAAAGAGCGCCCCCCCAUGG
RNAcentral lists this long non-coding RNA (89570 nucleotides) under Xyrichtys novacula (pearly razorfish). Lineage: Eukaryota; Metazoa; Chordata; Actinopteri; Labriformes; Labridae. The record is from RNAcentral.